AUUGUUCCAUUUAAGGCACUAGCUUACUUCCCUACUAUUCACAUGUCCUAACUAAAUGAUAUAGCCCCUUGUGGUGGCACUAUGAUGUAUGUUUUCUUAUGAAUUUUGGGAUGUCCUCCCUCUAAGGACCACAUCCGUAGUAUCACUCCUUAGGACUUACUUUCCUUUAAUGUGAGUGGCUUACUUAUAUCAAUAAAUCAUCUGUGGAACUUAUUUCUAGCUUAAUAUCUUGUCUUGGCCAGCUAACUAUCACAUACUUAUAAUUUUGGAACCAAUGGGGCUUCGGUAAUGCAUUGAAUCAUUGAAUAGAUAAUUGGGUUACUUCACUGUUAUUACAAAGAGCAAUCUUUUUUCCCUGUCAGUGUAGUUUCUUCUUUACAAGGUCCCUAUUUAUACUCUUCCUAUACUCACUUUCGCAACUCAUUCACUUUCCCAACUCACUCGCUCUUGUUUGAAAAUGUAUCAUCCUGUUGCAUACAGGACUCGAAGCAAGAAAGUCGGUGGUAAGUUGACGAUGGGUCGGAAAAGAAGAAAGGUGGAUGAAGAUGAUGAUGAAGUGAUUUGCUUGGGAGAUAUGAAGAAAGGUUUCCUGUAUUUAGGAGAGACUAAGGAUAAUCGUUCUGUAGGAGCUAUGAGAGAUGAUAAAGGUGAAAGCUUUGAUGAUCAUGAAUACGGUACUAAACCUGAAAAGCCAAUUAUUUUGUUGUCCGAUUCAUGUAGGAGUGGAGGUAGUAGUUUUGAUGAUGGAUAUGAUUCGUUGUGGUCUUCAACGGAGAGUGAAGAUGUUGAGACUAAUGACGAUGAUAUUAUGGCCCGAUUAUGAGAGUUAUGGGGGAUAUUUAAGGAUAGUUAGGUUAGAGCUCAAAGUCAUAUAAUGGAUAGUUGCAUGAAAGGGAAAAAAAAACCCACCUCUACACAUACCGUGCACGUUUGAAAAGAGAGGGAAGGAUCUGUGAGGGUUGGCUUGGCUCUUCGUCCGUGUUAAAGAACGUGAGGAAGGGACCUUUUACUUCCUCUUACUAGACAUCUUUGUAGUCUAAAACGCUUUCAAGAAUUCCAGGGAAACUAACUUUUAUGGUGAUUGUAUUUGUCAUGAGUGUUAUUGUCGUGAAUGGAGGUUGCUUGUGUUUUACCAUGUCGUAUGAAUUGUUGAAGAGGGAACCAUUAGAGUUGUUUUGGUUAUGAGAAAUCUUAGAUACACGUGGGGUAUAUAAAAUUAAUUGGAGAUGAUACAUGGGAAAGAGAGUUAUAACCGUGACAUAGUUUUAUAAACUCGUGACAUCUAAAAAAUCUGGAAUGUUACAAGUAGCACACAAUAUAUGUUAAAACAUUUAUUAAUGUAUCAUUUUAGUUUUUCAAAUAUAAUUUCUUAAUUUCUUUUUAUUAAUAGAAAUUAAAUACAUAUAACAAAAUUUCAAAAAGAACACAAUAACAUAUUAUUUUAACAGUUCGUUAACUAAACUGAAACAGUUAACCCUAAAUUUAAGUAUGAAAAAUAAAGAGCAGUAUGAGUGGUAUAAUAUAUUAGUUUGUUUUUUUUUUUCAUUAUAGUUAUCAACUCUGCUUAUGUUUUGUAAAUGGUAGUUUUUUUUUUUUCUUUUGUAUUAUUUAUCACAAGUUUCGUAUUAUUCCUCAUUUUUUAUAACAGUCUUCAUAUGAUCCCUCAUAUUAGGUUCUUGGUACGAUCCUUCAUAUUAGGAUCGUUUUCUUCGUAUGAUCCCUCAUAUUAGGAUUGGGUUCUUUCGUAAGAUUCCUCGUAUUAGAUUGAAUUACGUGGUGGAGUUUUUUGAUCCCUCAUAUUAGGUUCAUAUUAGGUUGGGUUACGUGGUGGAGUUUCUUGACUCUAUGAAUAUAAAUAUGCAUGGUGGGUGAUUCUUCUACAGCUCAAUAUUUCAGUAUUCUACAAUUCAUUUUAUUACCUAGUGUAAGUCUUCAAUGGACUCCCCAAAUGUUUCUUUCCUCAGCACUUGUCUGAAUGGACUGAAUGUUUUAUCAAGUAAAUAUUUUCUGUUAUUGUUCCUCGAUAAACAGUGGAUUUUGGUAUGUUUUAUGAUCAGGUGGAACCUUAAAUUAUUUGGAGAGAGAAACCUAGGUUUCUUUUCUUUUAUUUACUUUUUCCUUUAAAAGGAAAAGGAUUGCCUUAGGUUGGCUUUUUAUUUUUAUCUUUUUAGUUAAAAAAAAAUAAAAAUAAAAAUAAAAAUAUUCAACCAAGUUAAAUUCGUUUUUCCCAAUUUUUUUUCUGGUUCUCUUCCUCUUUUUCGUUUCGAUCCUCCGUAUUGUGCAAAGAAGAUGGCCUCAAGUUGGUCUCAUGGUGGCGAAAACGGCAGCGAGAGCGCUCAGGCGGUGUUCUCGUCUUUCUUGGUGGCUCGCAAUGACGCUUGGGUCGUUCUUCUUCUCCUCUUCUUUCCGUUCUGACUCGUGAUUUGCAGAGGAGAGACUUCUUUCUUUGGUUGAGGGUUGUUUCGCAGGAGGGAGGCGAACUCCGGCAGCAGCGCUGCGCUGGCGGGCCGAUGGCGCUACGAUGGCACGUCGAGGGCGCAGCGAGGGUGCGGCCUCUUCUCUGGUUCGGUUCGUCCGCUAAAAGGAGAAGCUUUGUUCUUCGUUUCGUUCUCUGAUUUGGGGUUGGGGUUUUGCAGGAAUUUCUCUUCUUAUUCCCAAAUUCUUUCUCGGUUCAAUUUUGGUGGUUCCUGUUUCUGGGGUUUUUGUCGCUUCUUUACAGAUAAAUGAUCGUGAAUUUGGAGUGUGUAUUGGAAUUAUUUUAUUCUCUGUUCAUAUCUGUGCAUUUAUGUUCAUAUAUUUUUAUACUUAUAUUCCUUUUCUAUAUUGCUCUAAAUAAUUAUAUAUAUCAAUUGUACUCUCUCCUUAUUAUUCAAUAAGAAAUACAAUAUUUCAUUCUUUCUUCUUUUCUAACAGUGUGGUUUGAAGAUUGUUGUUCUAAUCUUAAGGUCUGAGAUUAGGGCUUCAAUUUGAUUUUUCCUGGAGGUUCUGUUCUUCACGAAUCUCGUUUCUUGUUGGAGUUGAAACCGGCUUGGCCAUGGUAGUUUUCGCUUGUUGGUGGUUGUCUGAGUUGCAGCAGGGAGCUGCGGGCAGUCAGGGGAUUGCAGUGACCUCCCACGUGGAAUUCCUUUUGGGCCAUGGGUGAAUCCUGGGUUGAAUUUGAAUAUAUUGGAAUGUAGGCCUGUUGAUUGUAGUUGGUUCAGUUUAAAACCUAAUUGGUCUGUUAGUUCAAAGUUUGGAAGUUUGGAUUAUUUGGAACUUAGGUCUGUUUUUAAAAUUAAAUUAAUGUAAUGGGAAAUAAAUUAAUCAAUUGAUAUUAAUUAAUGAAAAUAAACUGGAAAGGAAAAGAGAAAAAAAGAUUAAUUUAUAAUAAUUAUAAUCAUGGAACAAAGUUAUUACUAUUUAUUUAGUAAUUAAUUGAAAAUCAAAUUAAUUUACUCGAAAGAGAAAUUAAUUUAGAAUAAGAAAGAAAUUAAUUGCUUUUAAAAAUUAAAUAUUUUAAAAUUAAAAUUAAAUAUUUUGAAAUUAGAAAUUAAUUUACUUUCAGAAAAGAAAGGAAAAUAUUGAGAUUUUAAUGAUUAAUUAUUUUUAGAUUGAAUUUUGAUUCUUAAAAUAUUAUAGAAAUUUAUAUUAGGAUUACAUAAGAUUAUAUGCUAAUGUACAUUGAUGUAUAAAUGGUGAAAUGAGAGAUGUGUGGAUUAUGUUUAGUUAGUUAUAAAACUAAUAAGAGAACCAUUUCUUCUUGUUCCAUAAAUACUGUAUCCUUCUUUCGUAUGCCUUAAUAUAAGGCUAAUGUUUUAUUUCCGAUUUUGGUUUAAUUUUCAGGUGUUGGUAUACUCUCAGUUCCUUAUGCUCUUGCAAUAGGAGGUUGGUUAAGUUUGAUUCUUCUAUUUUUAAUUGCCACUGCUACAUUUUACACUGGCCUUUUAAUUAAAAGAUGUAUGGAUAACAAUUCAAACAUUCGAACCUAUCCAGAUAUAGGAGAAUUUGCAUUUGGAAAAACAGGAAGAUUAAUAGUGUCAAUAAUAAUGUACACAGAACUAUAUUUGGUUCCAAUAGGAUUUUUGAUUCUAGAAGGUGAUAAUUUGAGCAACAUGUUUCCUAUUGGAAAGGUUCACAUAGCAGGCUUAGGAAUUGGUGGGAAACAAUUAUUUGUGAUUAUUGUUGCUCUUAUCAUUUUGCCCACAGUUUGGUUGGACAACCUGAGUCUACUCUCAUAUGUAUCUACAACUGGAGUUUUUGCUUCUCUUCUAAUAAUCCUUUCAAUAACAUGGACUGGAACAUUUGAUGGAGUUGGUUUUCAUCAUAAAGGAACUCUUGUCCAUUGGAAUGGUCUCCCCACAACUGUUAGCUUGUAUGUCUUCUGUUAUGGUGCACAUACUGUCUUUCCCAUGUUGUACAAUUCGAUGAGAAACAAACAUCACUUCUCAAAAGUAAGCACUCAUUUUUUAAUAUUAUUGUCCUAUACACUUUCUUGUUUUUUUCUAUCUAAUUAAUGAAUUUUACUUUUCUGAACAUUACAGGUCCUACUGGUAUGUUUUCUCGUAGCCACUGUGGGUUAUGCAUCCAUGGCAAUAGUGGGUUAUUUAAUGUUUGGUGAGGAGGUUAAGUCUGAAGUAACAUUAAACCUGCCUCUAAACAAAGUUAGCUCAAAAGUAGCAAUAUACACCGCCUUGAUGAAUCCCAUAUCCAAGUUUGCUUUGAUGCUAACCCCUAUUACGAAUGCUUUGAAAGACUUGCUUCCAACAACCUACAAGAAUAGGGUGACGAGCAUCUUACUAAGCACAGUGUUGGUAUUGAGCAUCACUAUUAUUGCCCUUGCUGUCCCUUUCUUUGGAUCUCUGAUUUCACUGGUUGGAGCCUUUCUAAAUGUCACAGCUUCUAUUCUGCUUCCGUGCUUGUGCUACUUGAAGAUUUCAGACACUUACAAGAAAUUUAGGUGUGAAACAGUAGUUAUAGUGAUAAUGAUAAUGAUAGCUAUUGUAAUGGCAAUUUCAGGAACCUACAUUUCUCUCAUGGAAAUAGCACACAAUCUAUAAAUGACAAUGUAAUGAUCCAUGCUGUUUACUGAAUAUAUGUUAGUGCGUUUGAAAGUCCAAUCAUGCAUGUCUGUUGAAAAAUAUCUAGUCAAAUCUCUAUUUGUUUCAGAAUGUUUAGUCAUACACACAGGAUAAACGAUAAUUAAAAAUAAAUAAAAAAUGGAGCAUAAAGCCAGAAAUUAUUACUUCAAAAUCAUAAAAAGAUUAUAUCAGAAUUAGGACAGACUAUAAUUACUGAAAUAUUGAUUAUUUAUACUAUUUUACAUUAUAAAAAUUGAAUUACUUUUUAUAAAAACUGAAUUAUAUUUAUUUGUAAUUCAAUUUAAAAAAACUGAAUUUCUUUUAUUAAUAAUUUAGUUAACUACUUUAAAAGGGUUAAAGGGUGGUUCAUCUUAUCCUUUUGGAAGUUCCAUUGGCAUGGAUUAGAAUGCAAGUAUAUGAUCAUGUGCAAUGUCCCACGCUCUUACAAGGUCAUUAAGGAGCACCCCAUAUUCUUUAUCCAUGGCUACCCCACAACUCCAUUUCCGUCUAGGCAUUUUCUAGUUCUUAUAACCAUAUACCUAACCAUGUGAACUUUGCUAACGUUAACCAAACCAACACCAACAUUCUAAUUUCUCUUGGUAAUUAAUGCCUUACACUCCAACGUUAGGUUUUGGGCCCUCCCACAAUCAUCCAAAUUACUGGUUUUUGCGUGUAAGUUGUCUAUUCAAAGAGGUAAAUAAAUUGGGUUGUAACAUACCCUUAUUAUGGUCUCUGACAUUUCUACCUAAUUGUCACUUUCAACUGCACAAGUCUCAGAAAGUUGGAGUAAAAACCAGCUCAAUAUGAAAGUUGUGCUUUGGAGAUCACAGCUAUUUGUGACAAACAAUUGCAUUAACAACUCCCUCUCUGGGCCUACAUGCCUCUUUCUCCCAAACACCAAUGCCCCAGUAUCAAAUCAUAGUUAAAGAAAGUAUACAAAUUAAUCAAUUUUAGGAAAUUACCAUAAUUCCUAAUGUUAUGUCACUUCACAACUGGCAAUUUUGUUCUUCUGCUUGCAAUCAAUAAUACAAUAGAUGCUUAUUAAAACAUCCUACACUUAUGGUUAGGGAUACUGAAUAAAGAGAGAAUAUUUUAUGUUAGUGUGACGUAAGCCGACUAAAGACAGAAGAGCUAAAGUUUAAUCAUGGAAUGGCGUGUAGACAAGCGCUGAAUCGAUGCAUAGAAACUCACAAAUCACAUAAUAGCAAUAGUAACAGUACUGAUAUUAAAUUUAUGACGAUCAAAACAGGAUAUCAGGUGAGAGUAGCACACAUUAUAUGUUAAAACAUUUAUUAAUGCAUCAUUUUAGUUUUUCAAAUGUAAUUUCUUAAUUUCUUUUUAUGAGUAGAAAUUAAAUACAUAUAACAAAAUUUCAAAAACAACACAAUAACACACUAUUUACUAAACUAAAACAGUUAUAAGUUUAAUUUUUAAAAACUGAAUUAUAUUGAAAUUUUAGUAAAAUGGAUUAGUAUAAUAUAGUACAGUUAACUAUAAAAUAUUAGUUAUUUUUUUCCAUGUGACAUCCCAAAAUAUCAUAUUCACAUAUAAUAUAAUAGGAUUCAGCUAUUACAAUAUGUGAAAGCAGUUAAGAGAUAAAGAUGACAGUAUUUAAAUAUUUAUACAUUCAUCCAAAUUUAGUGGAAAUUAAAACGAAAUAAAAACUUGAGUACAGGUUCCCCAGAGUUCCCCAAAAUACAUGAUAAAAUAAGGAUCCAAGGAUGCCUAGAGAGUGUUUCCAAAAAUAACAAGCUAUUGAAAUAAGAACUAAUAAACGUCCUAAGUACUAGGGGCUGGAUCUUCCUCAAUCUCCAACGCUUGCUCCAAGGGUACCUCAUCACCUACUGCUUACAUCCAAAGGAUUGGAUGAUCAUCGCAAAGGGGAAGGCAAACACAUACAAACAUACAAUGCAAGGGUGAGCUGGGUAUAUAAAAAAAAAGCAUGUUAUCAAUCAAGUAUUUCAAGCAAGUAAGGACCAUAACACCAUACAGACUAUGACCAAAUGUAUUUUGUUGAUACCAAGGACCGACCACGUGAUUUGACCAUCCAGACUAGUAUGAAAUGUCGAGUUCCAGGGGUUUGUGCACCCGGGUGGUGUAGUAACUGGAAAACCAUCAACUGCCACCCGAGGUUAGUCCGUUAUAACUCACCCAAGAACCUAUGGGCUAGGACCUCCUGCUAUUCUCACCACAUGAAUCAUCACUCUCUACUUGAGCAUGGAUGAUCAUUAGAAUGUCAGGAUAAACCCCAUCCUGAACUCCGGCCAUUCAUACGGUCAAUCACAACAACUACAUGGCACCAUCAUGUAACCUCCCUUGAGGAUCAUGGAAUUACGUCCAUUAAUCAUACUUUAUACAUACAUGCUUUCAAACUAUAUUUCCCAACAUUUAAUCAAUUCAUAAUCCCCUCUUGUUUCAUCAAACAUAGAAUUUUAUAGUCAUCUAAGUGUAUUCAUGCUAUAUUAACUCAUACCAAACCCAUAUAUCAUCACACAACAUCAACCAUGUCAUAAAACAACUCAUACAUUACAUACUUUCACAAAACCAUCACUUAUUAACACAAAUUUCUUUAUGACUUUUAAUUAUCAAUACUUAAGUAAUUCAAACAGCCAUGAGACCCUCACCAAUGGAUCUGGAAGGGUCAAAAACCCCUAGAACGACCUAGAGAACGUCCAAAACGGACCUCCGGAACUCUCGAAACGUCAAAAACAAAAAUGACAGCAGAAACAGUGUGCUGAAUGGCGCCCAGCGCCAUUCAGGUGGCGCCCAGCGCCAGGAAACAGAACCAAAUGGCGCCCAGCGUGGAUUCUGCAGGUUUUAUGCAGAGUUUGCACAACUCACACCCCUAAGUUCCGUUUUAGACCUUUUUAUGAAUUUCUAAUCAUUAUAACUCGAAAUUUAGGUGUAUUGAAACUUGUCUAAAGGUGUAUAAACAUUCCUAACCUCAAUUCCUAACAACUAUGCAUAGAUUUACACUCAAAAACCUCAAUUCUCUUAACUUAUCUAUCCAAAUCUAAUUCUACUAGUUAGAUACUGUUUUUACCACUUUUAAGGCUUCUAAUAAGUCACAAUUGACUCAAUCAAAUUGUCCCCACUGCCCACUUACACCCUAGAUCUCAAUUACUCAAAAACACCCUCUCACUUCCUCUAAACUCACUUAAAACACUAGUUUUUCCUCAACUUAAGGGCUCAAUUCUAAAUUUAUCACUUAAGGACUGUUUUUGUUCAUUUUGACACUUCUAACAAGUCAUAUUUGACUUAUCUAUGUGGUCUAAACUGGUCAAUACUCUUUAUGACUCCAACUUCCAAAUUUGACUACCUUAGUUCCCUUAAUUUGAUCUAGUAACUUCCUAACAUAGAAUUAUAACUUCCAUAAUCAGACUUUGUUAUUUAUGAUCUAUAUUUUCUGUUUUGAGCUGCUACUGUAUUCUUGUUAAUGUGGUGAUAGUUCACUAAGAAAAUGUGAAAUAUAUUUUUUUCUGAUUUUUUCUAUAUACUAAAAAAAUUAAUAAUGUGAAUGUGACUGAAGUGUGUCAGGCCUAACCAUACUUUUCCAUUUUUUUUUUAUACAAUUCUUGACAACAUUUGCUGUUAUGGGUAGAUAAAGAUAAAUUUUACAGUAAAGCCUGAUUAUAAAAUAAGUUUACUUUUUUUGAUGAUGAUAAUUGUCAUCAUUAAUAUGAAUACAGGUGAAACUUAUAUAAACUGCAGAGUGGUUGUGUUUUCAUAGAAAUUUCGGCAUUAAAUAAUAUAUAUUAGGAAAUUGAAAGAAAUUGGGUGCAAGCUUUUAUUUUGUUUCUUCUUUGCUUAAUGAUGCAGUUUCAGGUUCAUUUAAAGUUAUGUUAAGUGUUGCAAAUGAUGAAAUUUGGAGGAAGGCUUGGUGUUCAAUACUUGGAUGUUGGUUCUUGGUCAACUAUUGCAGUAGCUUUAAUUCUUGCAUUUUUCAGCUAGAUUGAGGUUGAAGUGAAUUCAUCAUAUUGAUUAGAAGUUGUUGGACCUACUUUAGGUAUUAAAAAUUGGCAGAUUUUGGAGUCUGGUGCAGCAACUUGUUUCUAGAAGGAAGCUGGACGUUGAACCAAUUUUUGGCUUGCAGGUUUUUGGUGCAGUUUUAGCACUGUUGGAGCAACCAAAGGUCUUAAAUGGAACUCGAAAAGUGCUUCAUGAUGCCGCUUGAACUUGGAUAGUCUUUAUUAUUAGUUCUCAUUUACAUUUGCUCUUCCAUUGUCAACUGUUUUCUUAUGUAGAAGUAGAAUUUAAAUGUUUUUUCUCUGUACUGAAGUGUAAGAACUUGUAGUGUUGUAGUGUUGUGACAGCAAGUAUAUUAUGUAAAAGACUACAAACAUAUUAUGCAAUAUUACUUGAUUAUAUCUCCUUUUCAAUUGUCCUUCUCUAAUAGAAAUAUUAGUAGUUAGUUUAACUUAUGUCAUGAAAAAUUUAUAAUCUAAAUUAGUGGAAUGAAACUAAAGCCUUUCUACAGUAGAAAUAGUGGAAUUACUGAAGGCUUUUGUCCUUCGGUAAACCGAAGGCUUUUGACUUUUGGUAAUUACCGAAGGCUUUUGGUCGUCGGUAAUUACCGAAGGGCAAAAGCUGUCGGUAAACGUUAGCGACAAAGAUUUUACCGACGACCUUUUGACCGUCGCUGAGUCGUCGGUAAUGGGUCUUUACCGACGCUUCUGGCGCUUUCCGAGGGAUUUUGACCUUCAGUAAUACCUUUCAUUACUGAAGUGAUCUCUCUCGUCAACAACUAUAUCAGAUUUCGUAAGUCAAAAAAAAUUUCGUACAAUCCUUCCUUUAGGGUCCUUUACUUCUCAAUGAUGAGGAGAAAGCCAUUUCCUCUUGUCCUUCUGCCAUAGAUACUGUAUCCUUCUUUCUUACAUGCCUUAAUGGACUCAAUACAAUAGGAGGUUAACACAUUCAAAAUAUAUAAUCUGUUUCUUUUAUAGUUGCCUCAACCUAGAUGUUUAUAUGUAAAAACAUAAUGUAAUAUAAGGCUAAUGUUUUGUUUCCGAUUUCCAGGUGUUGGCAUACUCUCAGCUCCUUAUGCUCUUGCAAUAGGAGGCUGGUUAAGCUUGGUUCUUCUGUUUUCCACUGCCGCUGCUGCAUUUUACAUUAGCCUUCUGAUUAAAAGAUACAUGGAUAAAGACUCAAACAUUCGAACCUACCUAAUAUAGGGAAACUUACAUUUGGAAAGACAGAAAAACUGAUAGUGUCAAUAAUCAUGUACACAAAACUAUAUCUGGUUCCAAUAGGAUUCUUGAUUCUAGAAGGUGAUAACUUGAGUAACAUAUUCUCCUUUAUGAUGAAAACCAACUCCGUCAAAUGUUGCAUUCCAUGUUAUUGAAAGAUGAUGAGAACAGAAGCAAAGACUCCACUUGCAGAUAGAUAAGAGAGUAGACUCAAGUAUUCCAACCAAACUGUGGAUAAGAUGAUAAAGGCAACCAUAAUAAAAAAAUAAUUGCUUCCCACCAAUUGCUAAGCCUGCUAUGUGAACCUUUCCAAUGGGGAAUAUGUUGCUCAAGUUAUCACCUUCUAGAAUCAAGAAUCCUAUUAGAACCAGAUAUAGUUCUGUGUACAUGAUUAUUGACACUAUUAGUCUUCCCGUCUUUCCAAAUGCAAGUUCUCCUAUAUCAGGGUAGGUUCGAAUGUUUGAGUUGUUAUCCAUGCAUCUUUUAAUUAGAAGGCCCAUGUAAAAUGCAGCAGUGAGAAUUAAAAACAGAAGAACCAAGCUUAACCAGCCUCCUGUUGCUUCCAAUGAAGUACAAGAAUAGGGUAACGAACAUUUUUAUUGAUCACAGUGUUGGUAUUGAGCACCACCAUUUUAUUAUUGCACAGUGUUGGUAUUGAGCACCGGCAAUGGAAAACCAUUCAUUCUACUCCUCUUGGAAAUAAGGGUGAACAAAAGCAUAGAUAAAUUCAAUUUGGUGGUAGUGCUCAACACAGGUGAACUUUUGCCUUUUAUUGUUUCGAAAGAAAGAACAGUAUACUUUUUUAUGUUUGAGACACGUUUUUGUUAUUAUUAUCACUUUUUUAUUUAUCUAUCAGUUUGACUAGUGGAUUUUAUCACUUUGCCACUGGUUUGGAGUUUUUUGCCCUAGUUGUGCGAAAUGAUUUUAGAUUCAACAGUCUACUAUUAAACCAAUUUGUACAAAUUUUGCCUGUACUUCUGUAGCCAAGCCCAUCAUGGUUUUAGUUAUGGUCCCAUCAAGUGAUGUAUAUUUUAGAAGAAUCAUUCAUUAUUCAUUGAAUAAAAUUAAUCACAGUUAGCUAUUCUAUAUUUCAAGUUUCUUACAUCCAUGAAAUACUACAGAUUGUUUAAACAACACUAUGCUAGGCUUCGUCCUGUCCUUGAUGAGUAAUCCUUGUUAAAAUACUGAACACUUUGGAAAGGUCUGUCUGUCUGUGCUACCCGUCACACUGAACACUGAACAAUUCAAAAUAUGGGAACUUCUCAAUUUGUGCAUGGCCUCCUUUUUCCUGGUCUGGGAUCUUCCCCGAAACAAAAAUUGAUAUCAGCUCAGAACAAGAUAGUAAUUUAAUCCGAUAUUUUAUAUAGCAUGCAAGUCCUACUAACAUGGAAUUCAAGUGACGCUUGCUCUUUCUACCUUUUUCUUGGUUUUAAGCUGUUACAGCUUUUUUUGUUGAAGCUUGAAUUUGGUGAACAGGUAGUUUUGGCAAAAUAGAGAGUUGAUGAAUAUACUUACUUUGAGUUGAUACAACAGAUUGGCACCCAACACAGCGUAAGUAUUUUCCAUAUGAAUUGGGUUCAUUCAAAUUGUAAAAUUUUCCAGUAAACAAGGAAUAGUUACUCCAUUGUAAUAAUCAAGAUCUUUUUGUAAAAAUUUUUAAACCCAUUCUAAAAGGUGGCAUUUUAUAGUUCAUUGAUAGUGUAACAAAAUUAUUUGAAAAUAAAAAACCAAAAUUAAAUUACUUGAUAAAAUAAAUUUAAAAACUAAAAUUUAAAAAAAAAAUGGAUGUGUAUAUUCGUUUGGCCCUGAAACGGAUGUCGAUAUCCGUCGACGGAUAUCCACAUCCGUUAGGGCCAAACGGAUGUGCGACAUCCGUUUAUACCUGGACGUCUUCUUCCUCAUACGUACACAGACAACCUCGCACAGACCCACAGCAACGGAAACACAUAGAGAAAUGCAGAAUCUUAAACAAUAUAUUAUAUACAUUUACAAAACAAGGUUCGAAGAACCUACCUUCUCGUAAACCAAGAGUCAAAAACGAACACACUGCUACAUCGCUGCACACACCUGUCACGCCGUCACACACACCAAAGGCUGGAAAGCACCACGAACACUACAAAAAUAAUAUAUUUUAAUAGGGGUUAGUGUUUGGCGGUUUUCAAAACCUCCAAUAAUUUCUGCGGUUAAAACCAUCCCAAACUUUUUCUUUUAAAUAAUUUUCUACUAACCCUAGUUUCCUCUCCUUGCUUCUUCAUUUUCUCCUAACCCAUUCCCGCUUCUCAACCUCUGUGGUCCCAUUUUCCCUCAAUCAUAUCCUUUUCCUGCUUCGUUUGUUCAUCUUCAAAGACGGUGUAGGGCUCUUGGGGCUUGAUCGCAAUCGAGACUUGGAAACAAAUCUGUCAAGAAGAGAAACAAGGAUGCCCCGUCGCGGAGAAGCUGAUAGAGUCAUACCUAAUCCACUGCAUGAUGGCCUCCGUCCGUGGGUGUGGUGGCAGCGGUGUUUUCUUUGCGACAACGGUGCUUCAGCGUCUUCAUUCUUCGUUGGCAUCUAUGAAAGAUCUGGAAUGAAGGCUCCUCUGAUUGCUGAUGACAUCUAUGAAAUUAUCAUCAAGGUAAUUAUACUUUUGUUGCCAUGAAUUUGAAAAUUUUCUGUCUGAAUUUUUUAUUUGUUUAACUGUUUAUGUAUAAUGGAUCUGCUGUUGUAGUUGGAUCAAGUUUCAAAAUUAUGAGUUGUAGGCCAUUGAGUGUUUUAGUAUAAUCACUUACGCUGUGUUCUUUUCAGUAGAAGUUACUGUAUAAGCGGAUUAGAGAAGAUGAAUUUGCGAGAUGACUCGUGUUCUCUUGCAGUUGUUUGCGCUGAUUUGGGAUGAAACAUUUCAGCUGAUUUGCCAAAAUACACUGUGCAUCCGAUCCCGCAAAUAUGAGAAGAUUUGCGCUGAUUGUUACGGCAAAGACGUUUCUACCCCUGUACGAAAAUAACAUUUGCAACAGCAAGCCAUGCACUGUGCCUUGAUAAGACCGAACCCAUGCACUGUGCUUUCACGAGUUUGCACUGCCUAGCAUGUGAUGCCCCUGCUGCUCGGCGUGAUGCACUUUGUUUCACACAAAGCUUUUGUAGAGCACUGCCUCUGCCUAGAUUCCCUGCGUGACAAAACAAUUCGAGGAGAGAAUCUGGCUGAUGUUUGAAUUUUAAACCCCAACUCCAUUAAUAAGACUCUGCUUGGUAGAUAAGGUUGGUGUGUAUUAAAUCGUGCUGUGUUUACAUAGAGAGGAACUAACAACAGAAGAUAUUGACAUUGAGGAGGUUUGGGUCUUGAGAGUGAGGGGCUGUGAUAGAGCGCAGGUAAUCUAUGCUUCCAUUGUUUAUGUCUUUGUUGCAGGUUUGUUGCAGGUUGAAGCCAUUUCCAACAUGUGACCAACACAUUUGGAGAGGAAGAAUGUUGUUCAUGAUGAUGAAGGAGUCCAUGCAGCCAACCAAACGGCAAGGAGGGAUUAAACAAGGGAAGAUUUCAUGCAGGAAGGAACACCCAGACGCCGUGUUGCAGCACUGUGUAAGUGUGAAAGGAGGGCUAUCCGGAUACAUUCAUGGCGUAUCCGGAUCCAGGGUGCUGUUCAAAAUCCAAUAACGGUGUAUCCGGAUACAAGUAGGGCGUAUCCGGAUCCACUGGAACAACUUCCAUGCACCUCACGAUCCUCGUGACGUUGUCGGCGUUAACGGCAGUUGGCGUUUCCGGUGCCGUCUUCUCCACCAAGUUCGUCUCUCUAGUUGGAGGUGGUCGAAGGACUUCGAAGGUUGGCGUUCGGAGUGGUGUUCGGAGUGGCGACGGUGGCUUUGGUGUCCACGAGAAGGGCAGUGGGUUGGGUCCUUGAUGCAGCCCUUGCAGCAGCAGCAACACAGAAGGGAGUUUAACCAUUUCGUUAUAUAAUGCAGCAGCCUAACCAUUUGUAUGCCUUGCAGGUUUUUUUCUAAGCAAAAGGUGCUUUUGAGAGGCUACGGAGGUCAAGUAUUUACCAUCGUUGUGGUGGUUUGUGGACGUCUUUGUGGUGGUUUGUGGACGUCUUUGCUGAGAUUUAUACUGUGGAAAGGAGUCCCUCCAACUACAACUUCGUAAAGUAAGUUGUGAAGUUAGAUACUAUACUUUGUAAGAAUUUAUGGUUAACCAUUGUAUGAUAUAACAUAUUCAUGUGUUUAUUUUUUUAACAGCUUGCUUUUGGAAUUGUGACUUCGUUAAAAUCUUCGUUGAAAGCAUGUAUUCAGCAUUGCUUCAAAUCUUGGUUGAAAGUAUCAUCACUGUCUUCAAGAGGUACAUAUGAGAUUGCUAUGUUUAAAUAAUAUGAAUGAAAGUCUGCUUUUUUUGUACUGGACAUGUAUUUUGUAUAGUUAUUAUAUGAAUGCAUAAAUAUAUUUAAUGAAUAGAUUAUUAUAUGAAUAUAUGAAUUUAGUAAUACGGUUUAUUUGAGUUUUGUUUUUGAAGUUGUUAAAUUGUAUAUAUUUGGUUAUUAAAUAUAUUAGAAGAAGAAUUACAUUUAUGAACACAUAUUAUGUUUUUUGUAUUUUUAUAACUAAUUAUAUUAAUAUAUAAUGUAUUAUGUUUAUUUAAUGUAAUGAUGUAUUAUGUGAAAAUUAAUAUAUAAUAUUUAUUUAAUGUAUUAUGUGAAAUUUAAUGUGUAAUAUUUAUUUAAUGUAACAAUGUGUAAUAAUUAUUUAUAAUAUUAAGAUAUGAUGUAUGAAUGUAUGACCAUCUGUUUGUUUGAUUAAUAUAUGAAUGUAUGAUUUUAAUUAUAGUAUUUAUAUUUGGUUAAGUAAAAAUAGAUGGAAGAAGAAUUAGAUUUAUCAUAUUUGGAUCGUGAAGAUAUAGAUGAUGAUGUGCUUGGCGUAGACUUCAAUAUUAUCUCAAUUAUACAAAGGCACUUAGAAAUAACGACUGCUAUGGCUUCAGUAACAAUGUUAUGCAUUGUUGCACACGCAUUGACUAUAUUGGAAAUGUACUGGAGUGAUUCUAGUAGUGUAAGUAUUUCCCUACCAGAAAGAGAUCGUCGUAGGGAGAAAUUAAUGUCAUAUCUUGUGCACACUAAUCGGUGCCACGACAUUAUUAGGAUGGGUCCAGAGGCAUUUAUUAAUCUUUGUGAAAGACUAAGAUCAACUGGGUUAGUUAAGGACAGCAUUCGGUCGACAGUCGCGCAACAAGUGGCUCAAUUUCUUCAUAUAAUUGGCCAUAAUGUUAAGAAUCGAAGUGUCGGUUUUUUCUUCCAUCGAUCGGGUUCGAUGGUUAGCAGACACUUUCACAAUGUGUUGGCUGCAGUUAUAACUUUGGAAUCUGAAUUUCUCAUCCAACCCUCAGGAAAUCAGGUUCAACCAUAUGUCUUGAACAACAAUCGAUUUUACCCGUACUUUAAGGUACCGAUUCAAAAACAGUUGUAUAGUUUGUGUGAUUAAGUUUUGAUAACAAAUGUAGACUCUUAUCAUGUAUUCAUAUUUUUAUGUUUAGGAUUGUUUAGGGGCCAUAGANGGUACUCAUGUUCGUGUGAAGGUUCCAAGAUCUGAUGCUCCGAGAUUUCGAGGAAGAAAAGAUUGGCCNACUCAAAAUGUGUUCGCUGCGUGUGAUUUUGACAUGAAAUUCACAUAUGUCCUUGCUGGGUGGGAAGGCACUGCAUCGGAUUCAAGAAUUUUAAAAAAUGCUCUUGAUCGAGAUGAUCCGUUAGUUAUCCCCCAAGGUCAGUGACCACAUUACGAUNUUNNNGNNUAAAUAGCGAUAUAUGUGANUANUGACUAAUUAGAUGUACAUGUCCNAAAAUGUAGGAAAAUACUACCUCGGUGAUGCUGGAUUUAUGUUGAAAAGCACAGUUUUGACUCCAUAUAGAGGCGUCAGAUAUCACCUUAAGGAAUAUACACGUAGAGGACCACAAAAUGCACGCGAGUUGUUUAAUCAUCGACAUUCAUCGUUGAGAAAUGUUAUUGAAAGAACUUUUGGUGUGUUGAAAAAAAGAUUCCCUAUCAUUGCAAGUGGCACUGAACCACACUAUGAAUUGGAGACGAUGACAGAGAUUAUCUUAGCAUGUUGUAUCUUACACAACUUCCUUCGUAGCGUGGAUCAUGAUGACUCAUUACUUGCCGAAGUUGAUAAUGAGUUGACUGAAAGUGAAGAGCAUAAUGUGUCAUCGUCUCAAGUUAGGGAAGAGGAUCAUAGGAUGGGUAGUAGUAUUAGGGAUGCCAUAGCAGAUCAUAUGUGGCGAGAUUAUCAGAACUCUUAGUUAUUGUAUUUUAUUUUGAUUGUAUGACUCUUUGUUGUUUAUAUUUAUGAGAAUGAAGAUUUAUUAUGGAUGUUUACUCUUCAUUUCUAACUAAUUUGUUUAUCAAGUAGGUAUAAAAUGAAUAGAGGUAAGGCACACGCCACUGAGUCCUCUGCUCCUACUAGAGAGUUCAUAAAAUGGACUGAGGAUAUGGACGCACGUCUCCUGCACUGUAUGAUUGAGGAAUCAAGGAUUGGUAAUAGGGUUGAUGGGAGUUGGACAUCCCAAGCGUAUANUAAUAUUGUUGAUCAUCUACAUGAGUCUGGGUAUGUCGCCAUAACAAAAAAUAAUGUUAAAAACCGUCAGAAAGUCUUGAAAGAUAAAUGGCGUGAGGUUCAUGACCUANUUUCUGGAUUAAGCNGUUUUGCUUGGAACCCCAUUACUAUGCGAUUUGAUGCAGAGGACGAAGUCUGGAUGGACCUCAUUCAGGUAUAUUAAAAUAAAUACAAAGAAUUUGGCAAUAUUCAAUAUCACAUAAUAUGAACAAUUAUAUUUGUCAUGUUUGUUGUGCAGUCGAGGCCAACCGCGGCAAAGUGGAGAGUGAACAGUAUCCGCCAUUACGAUUUAAUGGUGGAGUUAUGGGCUGCAGAUCGAGCUACAGGUAGCGGUGUUCGGACCGCUNGUCAAAUACGNCGAGGACGGGAUACGCUUCGUGUUAAUGUUGACCUCAAUCAGAAUAUUGAGUACACUCCUGAGCAGCCAGACUGGAUGGGGUAUAGAGACCCUACUCCGCCAUCACCUCCACCCUCAGUUGAUGAAUAUAGUCCAGGUGGGACUCAAUCUGUGCCUUCAGUCCCAUCCGGUGGGACUUCAUCCUCAAGAGGUUCGAAAAGGAAGGCAGCUAUGGUGGAUGUUGUUGAAUCCCAAUUUGAGAAGUUCACUACNAGCCUGGACGGUUUCACCAAUGUCCUUAGUUCAUCAAAUGUUUAUUUUGGUGUUAUUUCUAAUGCAGCAGUUGAACAGGUCACAACCAUGAAAGAAAGAAAUGAAAUACUACGUCGGUCCACAAGCUACACUUACACAGAAUCUGACAUUUAUAAUGUGCUGACUGGUAUGAACAUAUCUGAUGAAUCCCAAUUGGACCAAUGCUAUGACUUCUUAUGUGACAAGCCCAAAUGUGUUAAGAAGUUGAUGGGACUCCCACCUCACAAAAGGUGGAAUAAAUUAUGUCAAAUGUUCUACAGCGGUGAUUCUUAGGCUGUAUUAUGUAACAACUUCUAUUACAUCUUUAUUAUGACAUGUACUAUUUGGAUGUCAGUAUGACUUGUUAAUUCGGAUGUAUGAGUAUUGGACAUUAUUGUUAUGAUUAUUAUGUAAUGAUUUCACUUUGCUUCUAAGUAAUUUAAAUAUUCACUACUAUGUUAUCACUAACGUUUUUAUUCUACAAAAUAUUGUUUUGUUCAAGAAAUUCUUAAAUGGCCUCUUCAUCAACCAAAAGGCCUAGAAAAAGUCGCAAGGGAAAAGAGACUCAAAAUCAGACAGAAGAUGCAGCUAAUAUCAGACCAUUUGAUGAAGAACAAUUAGAUCAGCGUCGUUUUUUCACUCACAGCCAUCAAAUGGAAAACUAUGCAGUUGAUUUCUACACUAGGAAUAUUGUUCUUCCAAAGAUAAUGAAUUUCGAAUCAUUUGNCGGUUCAGGAUUAGUUUUCCAACAUAAUCUUCUAUUUCAAGGGGUGGUGGAAUUUCUUACAUUGCAGGGACCCUUUUAUCCAGACUUAAUCAAAGUUUUUUACUCAAAUCUGAAGAUUUCUGGAAAUGGAUAUUUGAUGAGUGAGGUGAACAAAAGAAGAAUUAGAUUGAAACCAGCUGAUUGGUUGAAUGUUGCUAAUAUGAAANNNNNNNNNNNNNNNNNNNNNNNNNNNNNNNNNNNNNNNNNNNNNNNNNNNNNNNNNNNNNNNNNNNNNNNNNNNNNNNNNNNNNNNNNNNNNNNNNNNNNNNNNNNNNNNNNNNNNNNNNNNNNNNNNNNNNNNNNNNNNNNNNNNNNNNNNNNNNNNNNNNNNNNNNNNNNNNNNNNNNNNNNNNNNNNNNNNNNNNNNNNNNNNNNNNNNNNNNNNNNNNNNNNNNNNNNNNNNNNNNNNNNNNNNNNNNNNNNNNNNNNNNNNNNNNNNNNNNNNNNNNNNNNNNNNNNNNNNNNNNNNNNNNNNNNNNNNNNNNNNNNNNNNNNNNNNNNNNNNNNNNNNNNNNNNNNNNNNNNNNNNNNNNNNNNNNNNNNNNNNNNNNNNNNNNNNNNNNNNNNNNNNNNNNNNNNNNNNNNNNNNNNNNNNNNNNNNNNNNNNNNNNNNNNNNNNNNNNNNNNNNNNNNNNNNNNNNNNNNNNNNNNNNNNNNNNNNNNNNNNNNNNNNNNNNNNNNNNNNNNNNNNNNNNNNNNNNNNNNNNNNNNNNNNNNNNNNNNNNNNNNNNNNNNNNNNNNNNNNNNNNNNNNNNNNNNNNNNNNNNNNNNNNNNNNNNNNNNNNNNNNNNNNNNNNNNNNNNNNNNNNNNNNNNNNNNNNNNNNNNNNNNNNNNNNNNNNNNNNNNNNNNNNNNNNNNNNNNNNNNNNNNNNNNNNNNNNNNNNNNNNNNNNNNNNNNNNNNNNNNNNNNNNNNNNNNNNNNNNNNNNNNNNNNNNNNNNNNNNNNNNNNNNNNNNNNNNNNNNNNNNNNNNNNNNNNNNNNNNNNNNNNNNNNNNNNNNNNNNNNNNNNNNNNNNNNNNNNNNNNNNNNNNNNNNNNNNNNNNNNNNNNNNNNNNNNNNNNNNNNNNNNNNNNNNNNNNNNNNNNNNNNNNNNNNNNNNNNNNNNNNNNNNNNNNNNNNNNNNNNNNNNNNNNNNNNNNNNNNNNNNNNNNNNNNNNNNNNNNNNNNNNNNNNNNNNNNNNNNNNNNNNNNNNNNNNNNNNNNNNNNNNNNNNNNNNNNNNNNNNNNNNNNNNNNNNNNNNNNNNNNNNNNNNNNNNNNNNNNNNNNNNNNNNNNNNNNNNNNNNNNNNNNNNNNNNNNNNNNNNNNNNNNNNNNNNNNNNNNNNNNNNNNNNNNNNNNNNNNNNNNNNNNNNNNNNNNNNNNNNNNNNNNNNNNNNNNNNNNNNNNNNNNNNNNNNNNNNNNNNNNNNNNNNNNNNNNNNNNNNNNNNNNNNNNNNNNNNNNNNNNNNNNNNNNNNNNNNNNNNNNNNNNNNNNNNNNNNNNNNNNNNNNNNNNNNNNNNNNNNNNNNNNNNNNNNNNNNNNNNNNNNNNNNNNNNNNNNNNNNNNNNNNNNNNNNNNNNNNNNNNNNNNNNNNNNNNNNNNNNNNNNNNNNNNNNNNNNNNNNNNNNNNNNNNNNNNNNNNNNNNNNNNNNNNNNNNNNNNNNNNNNNNNNNNNNNNNNNNNNNNNNNNNNNNNNNNNNNNNNNNNNNNNNNNNNNNNNNNNNNNNNNNNNNNNNNNNNNNNNNNNNNNNNNNNNNNNNNNNNNNNNNNNNNNNNNNNNNNNNNNNNNNNNNNNNNNNNNNNNNNNNNNNNNNNNNNUAUCACAUCAAUCAAAUCCUACACUAAUUCUCACAAACUUUACCCUCAAAUCCACCCUCAAUUACCCACAAAUCUACUCAAAAAAACAACAACAAAAUUACCCUCAAAUCCACUCAAAUCCACUCAAAUCAUCUCCCCCAAAUCAUCUCCCCCUAAUCCUUUCAAAAGAACAGAGGCUUAGUAUGGCUGUUAUAUUGUGCAUUUCUGAUUUGGUUUGUAUUUCUGAUGUUAUGUGCUUUAAAUUUUGUUUGGCUAUUGUUUUGGUAUGAUGGGAUUUUCACUUGUCUUGUUUUCUGUUAUGCUUCAGAAUGCUGCUCGAUUGGAUAGUGAAAUAAUCUAUGAUAGGGACUUUAACUAUGAUUAUUUUGGUUUCAAAACCCUUGAGAGGUCCUUCCUCUUAAAGGUUCAAGGUAAGGUUGUGGAAAGACUACAACACAUGUUGAUGAGGGUUGCUGUUGGAAUUCAUAACGAAGACAUCGAUUCUGCUGUCAAAACAUACCACCUGAUGUCUCAACGGGGGUUCACUCAUGCAUCUCCAACUCUUUUCAAUGCGGGAACACCUACACCGCAGGUACAGUAUAUGCUAAUGCUCUAUAUCUCCAAAUCUUUCUCUUUUUGUAGGCAUGCAUUUUUGAUAUUUGAUAAUCCAUAACCACCCUAAUGCAGUUUAGCUUUAACGUUGUAUAGAAAGUAACACAGCAUACUUCAACAACAUGGCAUGUGAUGUGACUAUCUCUGAUUCAAGUUUAUCAUAAUACAGUCCUACUUGUAUUUGCACUAUUGUUGUCGUGUACCAGUACGGCAUGUUGCGGGGUCCAUUGAAAGAGAUAGGAAUUUUUUAAAUGGAAAGCCCUGAAAGUGAAAAUGCUAGUUUUAUGUGGUCCAUUUCGUUUUGCAUCAACUAAUGGCUAAAUUAUCUUCAACACCCAGCAGCUACUUCAAUAAUGCCUGGUCGCCUGCACUUAAUAAUAAAUCUUUGAUUAUCGAAGCUUUGUGGAAAGUUCUAACUUAUCACUUCCAUUGCUUCAUACAUAAAUUUGGAAGGCCCUACGUAUGCUAGUUCAAACAAUUGCCAUGUGCUUUGAACCAAAGGGCAACAUAAAAAGACAAGCCAUAAUGAAGAACAACAACAGCCAUGUGAUUUGGCAAAGAAAGCUCCGGUUUUCUGUCUGAAAUCUCAAAAGAGUAUCUAGCAUGGCUUGCUAUGUGUGCACAAUCAACGCUAAUUAAUAUAAUUUCACCAUUUGUUUUCCAAGCUUGGACCCUUGUGUUUUUCUACAUUAUUUAUAAAUUUUGGCUACAUUUCUGUAAGUGCUUUGUAUGUAACCCUUUUUCUGUUUACUAAUAAUAUCUCUCUUUUCCACCAUUUGCAGGUUCUUGAAGAUCCAGAGACCACAAAGCAUGAACAGCCAUUAGCAUUCUCUUGAAUAAAUAGUAAAUAGUGUAUUUCCAGCAGCAAGCUGUGAAAUAAUCUAAUUGUUAUCUAACUUUUGUUUAUAUAUGCCAUCGUAUUGUUGUGUGUGUGUUCAUGUGGAAUCUUGCAACAUUUUUCAGGAGCAGAAGUUGAGAAGGAUCUUCGAAUUCAGAAGAGCAUACUCCCUGCAGUUGGCCAGGUACUUUUUCUUUUUCUCGUGUCUGGACCUUCUUAGUGGGUUCCACCUGCCUAUAAUUUCUUCAAUAUUACAUGUUUAUCAUUCUUAUGCUGUGAGAUUUAACUGUCUAUUCUGUAGCAAAACUUUCUACUUUCAUUUGCUAUGUAUUGUUAUUGCAUCUUUUGUUCAGCACAUUGACCAACUUUAUUAUUGGAGUUGUUUUCUGUUUGUGAUUUAUGUGGAAAUGGAAAUUGGUUAUCAUGCUUCCAGAGUUAGAAAAUAUGAAUUCGUCAUUUGGUUAGUUGAAAAUUAAAAGCAAGACUUUUGCUAUUUCUUAUUUCUCUUUAUUGUUAUUUGUCAUUCAUGUAGAUAGAAAUAAGAGCUGAUCUGAUGGAUGCCCGUAUGCGUUCAAAAGGUAUAUUCAUUUUCUUUUUAAAUUCCUUCCUUGUUCUUUUGUCUUGAAUCACUCAUUUUUGCAUCCUGAAACAAACUUUUGUUGCAGAUCAGUUCUACAAGAAGUUCUAGAUCAGAAAAGUGCAUUUCACAGCUUAAAGCAUGAUGUAUUGCCAUAUCUAGUCUGGAGCCAACUGGUUAGUUGUUAAUGGUUUUUCACGAGAUAGGUUAGGUAUUGUUGAACUUAUAAGGUGUUGUUAAUGGUUAGUUCCUAAUUAAACUAAUCAACUAAUGAUUUAGAAGUGUAUCUUUGGCAUUAUAGCUAUUGUUGUUUUAAAAACCGAAAUACAUAGGAUUUUCAUUAUGAAUUAUGCCUCUCAAUGCAGUGUCUGAACACUUGCAGACUCUUGAAAGGUAGAUUUUUUCUAUACUGAGAAAAUAUAAAGUUAUAAUAUUAAGCUAAUUGUAGAAAAUUAAUUUCAUCAGAAAACAAUAUGUGAGUGAAGAAAUAUAAUAUUUACUUCAUGAAUUUGCUAGAGCUCCUGCAUGUGUAGCUGCAAAUGAUGUCACCUACUACACGGGUCAACACGAUAUAGAACAUGUUUCCUAACUUGGAACUUUAGAAAUAUAAAUAAUCAUACUUUUUAAUUAUUUAAAAAAUUAAUUAGAAUGCAACUCAUGGUCAUCUGGCUAACAUGAUCCAACUCAAUUUUCUGUAAUACACAUAUGAACAUUUCUGUUUUAUACUUGUAUCUCAUGCAUAAUUUCAGUUUAUAUUUCCUGUUUGGUAUUCCAGUUUGGAGGUGUUAUUUGGUGGACACAAUCAACAAGCAUUCUUCGAUAUUAAAGGUACUUGCCAUUUGCUCACCUUGAAUGAGAUCAAAGUAAAAUAUACAUCAUUAUAUAAGAAUGUUCCAAUGCAUCAAAAGCUAAUUCAAGUAUGGUAUUGUUUGGGUUUGAGAUUUGCGGGGAGAUCAAAUCAGAGAAGAAAGGGGUUAAUUCUCUUCUAACAAUCCAUAUAGAGAUUCAUAUAAGGUAAAGUAGAUGAUGCCCCAAUAUAAGCAUCAAGUGAGAAGAAUUUGUUAGGUACUUUAGAACAUGUUUAUUGUAAAAAUAUUGUUAACUUUUUCAUUUUGAGGAUAUUUCAUUGUAUCUGUUUGUGUUAUUUAUAUGUUAUUUACAAGUUUCAGGAUUAUAUUCAUUAUGACUGAUAGAUUUAUAACCUUGUUUAACGUUGAUGGAGGAACUGGACCUUUAUAUCUCAAGUCUAUCAAUAUAUGUAACUCAACAUAUUUGAAAUUGAGGUAGUAGCUGAAUAUUGCAAUUUAAAAUACAGGCACGAAUAUUCUGUUUGGUGUGGUGCACAUGAACUUGGGAUUAUAUUAAGUUAUUUCAAUGCUCAUUUCUUUGGCAGAUCUUUAUCAUGUAAUGAUUUACAUGUUUUUAAGCCCUUUCGACAAUCUUGGUGAGAAUCAAUUGUUUUGGGGUCAAAGACCACUUCAAGUAUGAUUCAUUUCUUUACUUCUUUAUUGCUUAAUAAUUGUUCCUUUCCUAUUUUACGUCAUUCUGAGUUACUGUGCAUGAUAUGCAGGUUGUGUUGUUGCUUUUAUCUGUAAUUGCAUAAAGUUGAGGAGUUUAAUGCCAUGGGAAAAGGGAAGCGUAACUAGAAGCUGGUAUCUUAUUUAUGCCAUUGUUUUCUUUAAUUUAUUUAUGCUUCUUUUAUUCUAUUUUCUAGCUAAGCAUUAAUAUUUACUAUUGAUAUCUUGCCUCUAAUUGAUGCAAGAGGCUUCAAAUUUGAGGACAAAGGUGAAACCAUAGAGAUCAUUACCUCUCCCAGAAGAAGAGUUAUGGAGAAGGAAGUGUGUGAGAAAGAAGAGAACUCCACUUGGGAGGAAGAAAAUAAAAGUGGUUUCAACUUGUGGAAAUGGAGUUUGACUGGUGUUGGAGCCAUGUGUUCUUCUUUGGAAGCCAGCAAAAGAACAAACUAAAGCAGGAUCAGAAGAUCCGGUUCCAGAUCUAUGCUGAUGACAAGGUAAGCUAAUCUCAGUUUUUUUAUUUUCACUAAGUUUGUUCCUUGUAAAACUGAAACUGCAAUAUCAAGAUUUUGGAGUUUCAUUACUGUAUUCAAUAUUGGUUUUUCUAUUAGAAUGAAGAUUCAAUUCUGUGAUUGAUGCUGACAUGUAAUGAAAACCUUUUUAUAGCAUGAAACAUUGAAGUAGAACUCUGCUUUCAUUUAUCAAUCCUAAGAACUGUAUAAACUUAUCUUUUUUAAAUAUUCAGUACAUUUGUGACUUUUUAAAGUGUCAACUAUGUUUGGUUACAGUUUUUGACAAGAUCAUAGAUCAUGAGUAAAAUUCUGAGAAUGAUUUAGUAUUGGGUUUUGUUGUUUGUUUGUUUGAGAAAUGUCAAGGAAAGAAAAAGUAUGUUUACUUGUGGCAAGAUUUUUGGAAUCUUUUGGUGAUUGCAAUUUGGAAUAUUAAAUAGUUUACUGGUUUUGGUCCAAUAUUGUUUUAAUUGGUUGUUGGAUUUUGAAGUAGUGAUUGGUUUGGUUGUGAUUUCAGAGGAUUAAGCGAGUGGUGCAGCAUGCAACCAAAUUAAAUGAUGUAAUUUCUGCAGCAAGAGGUAUUCCUAUGAGCAGAGCUCAUAUAAGUGUUGGGGGUUAUUAUGAUGAUCUGUGAAGCAUUGAUUAGGUGAGUUCAUGAAGCGAUUGAAGUGUGCAAUGGAUGAAUAGUUCCAUAAGAUCUAUGAAUCUGGCCAUAUUUUAUAUUGCUGUAAAUAACUGAUGCCAAAUUUCUGUCAAAAAGAAAACGAUGAUGCUAGAUUGUUGAUGUUUACUCUGUAUUUUUUGUGAUCUUGUAAUUUAAGUCACAGAUUGUAGGCACUUCUAUUAUUAUUUGAUUAUUUUUGAAUUAGUAUAUCAAGGUGUUUCUAGCUGUUUUGAUUUUAGUAAUUGCCAAACUCAGUUAAAACAGAACAGGAAAUUAAAAAUGAGUUUACAGUAUGUGUAUAAUAUAUAUAUAUAUAUAUAUAUAUAUAUAUGUGUGUGUGUGUGUGUGGUUUCUCAUCAUAUGUAUAAAUGGUUUUCAAAGUUAGAAUUGAACAUUUUGUUGUUGAUCUGGGUUCCAUUCGAUGCUAGCAAAGGAUUGCUAGGAAAAUAAUAUUGAUGAGUAUUAGAAAGAAAACUAAAAAAUAAAAGACACGAAAGGACAUACCAAAACUAGCAGUUCAAGUAUCUUUGGGUGACUAUUUUGAUGGAAUGAUUUUGAAAAGGGAUUAUUGAUAAAUAAAAAUAAAAAUUUGAGCUAUUACUACAUUUCCGGCUGUUUUUGAAAACCACUGGAAAUAGCGGUUUCUUACAAAACCGCCGGUAAUGUUUAGCGAUACUGUUUUUUCUGGCGCUUUCCCCAAUCACGGGAAACACAUUUUUCAGGAGUUAAAAUCGACGGAAACGCCAAAAAUAACCUUUGGAAAAAUUAUAUAUUUUUGUAGUGGAAAUGCAGAAGAGAAGAAAAGACUGUGGAGAGUUGGAGUCAAAGUUUUACAAAAAAAUAAAAGGUGGGACUGUUACUUAAUUAAUAGGUUAAACAGUAAAAAAUAAAGUAAAAUAGUUAAAAUAAAAUUAUUUAGGUAAUAGAAAAAAAGUUACACAAAAAUGAGGAGGUGAAAAUGGAAAUAGGAAGGUGGAGGAAAUAACCCCCGUCAAGUUUGGUGGCAGUCACAACACAUGCUCGCGAGUGGAUGGAUAUCAUAUAACAUGAUAUGUUAUUUUAUAGCGAACUAAAUUUGAGAAAAUCUUAAUUGGAUCAUAAUACAUAUAGUUAAAACAUAUCUCAACACGGAUUUUUUUAGUAACAUAUUUAUACACUAACGUCUUGUUUUUUUUAUUACUUAGAAUACAUUAACACAAUAAUAAAUAAAUAAUAAAUCAGUAAAAAUAACACAUAUCCAAAAAAAAUUAUGCCAAUAGUUUUGUAAAUAUAAAAUUGUUCUUAUAUGGGACUUAUUUAGAAUAUAUAUUUUACCUUUGUUUCAAGUAUUAUCUUUAACAAGGUGAAAACGAAUCUUAGGAAUACAAAAUUCACUAUAAUAGUAGCUGUUGUGCUUGCUAAUUGUUUUUUUUUUCGUUUUGGCAAUCAUUGUGUUCUUUGAGAUUUUUUUCAUAUGAUAUAGAUGUUUUAGUUUAAGAAAAAAGUCAAAGAUAUCAUUUAAAAGGAAAAUAUGUAUUCCACUUUAACAGAGAGAAAGUCAUGUUCAAAAAAUAUCUACUUGCUUUUUCAACUUUAUCAACCAACUUAUUAAUAUGUAUACUAAAUUCCAAAUUCAUAUUUUUAAAAAGUUUGUUAUAUUCUAAAUUGAUAAAAAAAAAUGUUAUAGAUUGUUCUCAACUUGUUAUGAUAAAAAAAAUACUCAAUUUUACAUACAACAUAAGAUUUAUUAUAUUCAUUUUAUUUUCUUCCUUCUCAACAUGAUUAGAGAACACUAUCUUUAUUUUGCGACUAUUCUCUUUAUCAUUUAAUAAUCACACUGAAAUUUCAUCAUACAUUUUACCUCUUUCUUUAUCAUUACACAUUAUUAAGUAAUAGUUUUUCCCAUCUUUAUGGAAUACAACAAUGAAAAAAAAAUUGACAAAACAUUAAAUUAAAACUAUUUCACAUUUGAAAGGUAAGAUGCGACAUCCCAAAAAUUUUACGUUAAUAUAAUUUUGAAUGAUUAAACAUUAUAAUAUGAUAGAACAGUUUAAUUAUAAUAUGAUAGAACAGUUUAAUAAUGAAGAUAAAGUUAUAAGUUUAUAGACAUCUAAAAUUGACCGUGAAUUUAAAACUUUACUUACAAAGGAUGUAUUUCAAAAUAGCUAAGUCAGCUAAGAAGAAUCCUAAGAACUAGGGAUGGCAACGGGUCGGGUUCGGAUCAGGUAGUGUGAUAUCCGAACCCGACCCGCAUGUAAAAAAGUGUACCCAUACCCGCCGGAUACCCGCAUAAAAAAAAUCCGCGGAUUUUUUUCAACCCGCGGAUACCCGUUUCAACCCGCAAUUUUUUAAAAUCGAGAGAGUCCAAACUUUCUUUUUAGGUUUUCUUUCCUAAUCUUUAAGAUGGGCCAAGCCCAAACCUUUCUAGGGUUCUCCUUUUCCCCUUCCCCUCCAUCUUCUGCGCGUAGCCAACAACAAUAACCCUCAACCCAGAAACAAUAACCCUCAAGAGCUCGAAUUUCCAUCAGCCAAAAACAAUAACCCUCAACCCAGAGCUCGAAUCUUCAUCAGAACAUUCAAAACCUGCAAGAGGAAACAUAAUCACCGAGUCAUUAGCCUCUCACCACAGAAAGCCCCAAAUCUAUGAACCCUAACUGCAGGGAAAACCCCAGAAUUGUGUUCUGCCUCCAUCUUCUUCGAUCAACAAAAUCGCGAGCAUCAUCUUCCCUUUCAACGGCCACCAUGAAUCGCAUCACCUCCACGGCCACCGCAGACUCAGUCAUCACCAUCAUGCACGCCUCGUCGAUGCACUCCGAGUUGAAAAGAAGAGGUUGAACGGUUGAAAUCAAAAAUCAAUCGGCGGAAGUGUUUGAUCGGUGGGAAAGGUGGAAAAAGGCGUUUUAAUCGGUGAAAGUAUAAGAAGUGGUAGAAGAGAUGUGAAUAUGUGAGGAUACCUGAUUUGGAAUAGUGAGACGCGAAAUAGGAGCAUUACACGUUUGCCUCUGCCUGAAAGUUUCUUUUUUUUUUUCAACAGUGAAAGAAGCAUUCAAGGAAGUAGGAGCAUUGUAGCAGGAGAUGAAAAAGCAUGUUUUGUUUGUCGUUACCGUUGACAGUGGUGGGAAUGGAUACGUUGUUGACAAUGGUGGGAAUGGAUGUGUUGGUGGAGAGCAGGCUUCUACGGGAACGCUACAAAGAUGCAUACAGAAUGAAACCCUAAAAAAGAGAUUUGGGCUUUGGCCCAAUUUUAAAACAAAUUUAAAAGAAAAAAAAGACUAACUAAAAAGGUAGAAAAAAAAAUUUAAGAAUAAAAUUGUAAUUUUAUUUUUUUAACGGGUAACGGGUAUCCGCGAGUAUGGAUAGUGUGAUACCCGAACCCGACCCGUUAACAAGCGGGUAUUAAAAUACCCGUUACCCGCUACCCGCGGGUACCUUUUAUCCACGAAUAUUAAAUACCCGUAGCGGAUUUUAUCCGCGGAUAUCCACGGGUACGGGUUUUUUUCCAUCCCUACUAAGAACUAGGCAACUGCAUCUUUUUCAUUCUCCAGUGCUUGCUCCAGGGCACAUCAUCAGCUACUGCUCACAUCCAAAGGAUUGGAUGAUCAUCACAAGGAAGAAGGUAAACACAUACAGCACACACAAUGCAAGGGUAAACUAAGUUCAAACAAACAUACAAGUCAAUUUAAUUCAAUCUAAUAUGUCCAAGAACAUUCACACAUAUGCACUUGUAGGUCAUCAUCGACAUAAACAUCAUUUUCAUACAAUUUACCAAAACAAGUAUCCUAUCAUGUGAAGACUUCUAGACUCGUCCGGACUUAGAAUGGAUGUAGAGUUGGGGCAGGUUGUGCACUUAUGCUGACAUCUACUGCUUUGCAAAGUCAUUGCCGAGGGAUUUCACCCGACCACACACAAGGUUAGUCCGUUACUACGGAAUAGAUAUCUAGUGAUAACGUGAAAAAGAAAAGGGCUGAAACUUUUAAGAUAAAGUUUUACUAAAAUUUUAUUUUUGCUACUAAAAUUGGUCCAACAAUUCACUGCCACAUGUGCACCACUUAAGUGACAUUUUUCUCCGACCUUACAUGAGACUUUUGAAUCAUGGAAAAAUAAGAUUAAAAUAAUUUUAAAUUUCAUACACAAAUUAAAAAAAAAUGUAUAUGUCAAGUCAAUAGUCAUAAUCAAAAUAUCUUUUAAUAGUAAUUAACUUAAAAAAUAAUAAUAUACAAAUAGUUAAGUAAAUAAAAAAUAAAAGAACACUACAAAAUUUGAUAUUAUCACCAGUCAAAAUUUGUCAAUAAUAUUUUAAUUUUUUUAUAUAUAAUCAAAAUUAACGACAGUUUAUUGAUGAUUAAAAAUUAAUGAAUAAAUGUCAAUAUGAUUCAUCUUAUUUUUUCACAUUUAAUUUAUAAACAUAUUUUAUCAUAUUAGACAAAACAUUUGAUUUCCAAUCAGCAGAAAAAUUUACAAAUAUAUUUUUUUUCAAUAAUCAAAAUUUUAUUUUAUAGACAAAUCUUGUUCGAUGAAUUUUAAAAAAUUCAAUUAUCAACAAAUUUACACUAAAUGAAAGUGAGAAAUGUAACGUCAUUUUAUCAGUUAAAAAAUUUGUCAAUAAUAAAAAUUCUAAAUUACUAUUAGGUUUUACUGACUAAAUUUAUCAAUGGAUAUUUACUCAUAGAUAUGUUUCAUUAGUAAUUCAAAUACUAAUUUACUUACGAAUUUUAUUAACAAAUUAUUUAUGUUAAUAAAUUUUGUUUUACAAAAGACUUAUUUUUGUUGGUAAAAUUUUGUUCAUAAUUAAAGAAUUUUUUAUAAUGUAAAUUAAAACCAAAGAGAAUAUAAAAAUAAAAUAAAAAUAGUUUUCCCUUGGUGGUACCAAUUAUCAUCUCUAAUCAUACUAUCCAUAUGUAAAAGCAAUAAUAUAUAAUUAGUUAAGUAAAUAAAAAUAAAAUUAUUUAAAAAAAUAGAAAACAAUUGAAGAUAGUGUCGUUAGUAAAAAAACACUUUUUAUAAUGUUUAUUUAUAUUGAUUAUAAUUCAUCGAGUAUAAAAAGUAGAGUGGUAACAUAACUAUAAAUAAGAACAAUUUUUAUGUCCGUUAUAAUUAUAACAAGUAUAAUAAAUGAACACGGUAACAUUUUUGUUAAAGAAAAAAAAAUUAUACCAAUUCUAGUUUUAAUUAGUAUAAAAAGUGAACACGAUGAUAUUUUUGUAAUAAAUAAAAAAAUUUAUAUCGAUUCUAAUUAAAAAGAGUACAGAAAGUGAACAUAGUAACAUUUUAUAAUAAAUAAGAAAACUUUAUAUAUUAGUUGUAAUAAGAAAAGUUUAGGUGACCUUUCAACCUCUCUCAUAGGUAUUUACUAUCUAAACUUUCUUCUUUCAUUUCAUUUUUCAGUUAGCGAUUGGGGUAAAAUGUGUGCAUUUUUACAAAAAUUAUAACCCAAUUGAGACAGUUCAAAACUUUAGGACCAAACUGAGAUUUUCACACAAAUACGAGGACCAAGAAGGGAUUAAGCUAACAUGUCAGCAUACCACGUCAGCUAAACUUAACGCCGUUUGAGAUCAGUUAACGGUUGGGAUAAAAUGUGUGCAUUUUUACAAAAAUUAUGACCCAAUUGAGACAGUUCAAAACUUGAGGACCGAACUGAGAUUUUCACACAAAUACGAGGACCAAUUGAGGUAUUAAGCCUUUUUUAUAGAUAUAAUAUAUUCGAUUCAAUUCUAAUUUUAUGUUUAAAACUUUUAGGUUAUUAAUUGAUACAUGAGCGAUAACUCUACAUUUUCAUUUUUUUACAGAUAAAUGGUAAUGAAAAAACAGAACUAGCCUUUGUUUGAACAUUUCGCUUUGUAUAUCAAUUUUACUUUAACUUAUAUAAAAAGUAAAACUUUCUAUAUCAAUUUUAUCAUAUUAACAUGCAUCGAAUGGUAAUAUCCGAAAUCUUAAACAUUCGAUCUUCACUUCUGAUUUCUACAAAUUCAAAUUUUUAUAUCUGAUUUUUUUCAUUUUCAGUUCUUUUUUUUAAUUCGAAAUUAGUUUCAUUAGUUUUAAUACAUUCAUAAAAUUAUUUUAUAUUAAUUAAAUUAUAUAAUACAUUAUAAACUCAUAAAUAAAAUGCUAAAAAAAAUAAACUAAUAUAAAAUGAAAUGAGGUGAAAGGUUCAGGGGGUGUAGGUUUUUUUAUAAAGAUGAAAUGAGGUGCAGAGAUGCAAGAAUGUAGGAGUGCAAGGGUGAAGGGAUGUCAGGUGCGACAGUGAUACAUUUUUGGUGAUGGGAAGAAAAUGGAAGUGGAAUCAAUGUUUUGCAUAGAAAUCUUUAAUAAUAAAAAAAUAAACUUUUAAAUCAGUUACUAAUUAGAAACAUUUUAGAAAAUUAGAGGUACAAAUCCUUGAAAGUGCGGCCCAAACAGCACCAGCCCCCUGCUUCUCUUGAUUUAACUCUAGGCCUUUCCAACAAGGGACAUUCCUACAAUUUAAAAUCAGGACCUAUCAGCAAAUAAAAGUAGGGCAUUUCAGCAAUUAAAGAAAUUAAAAUAAAAGUAAAGAAAAAGAAUUUUUAUUGAAAGAUUUUCUAAAAAAGAAUAUUAAUUUCUUAAUUACCAAAAAUACUCUUAAAAACUUAUUUUUAACUAUGAUUUGACAAAAUUACAAAUUUAAAUCAAAACCUUAAAACUAACCUAAUUAUAGAAAAUUAAAAACUAAUAAAAAAUUAAAAAUACCUUCUAAACACGAAAAAAAUGGAUGCGCAUGAAUUUGCUUGAAGGAUCUCAAGCCAUUGCUCUUGUGAAUCAAAUCCUAGAGAACCGAUUUCAGAGAUUGCCCAGCCUUGCUCAUGCUAGUGAUCAGUGCUCAAACAAUUCAUCCAAAAUCUUUCACUGUUUAUGAGUGGACAUAGCCACGCUUAGUUAUUGGCACAAAAUCACAAGGAGUUUUAAGUUCCCACAUCUUCUAACCUCAUUAACUCGCACAUAUAAUUGCUUCUGAGUAGGCUCGAAUUAACUCGCAAACUCCGCGCUUCACUUGUUUAAAAUAAUGGAAAUAAAUAUGAUUUAAAACAAGAGAUAUAAAUUUAAUAAGGUUUAUGUUUAAUAAGAAAUAUUAACUUUAAUAUAAGUGUACUGUAGUUUUAAAUUUUUCAUGAAAUAUUAUUUUUAAUAUUUUAAUAUUUAGUUUAUUUUGAGUUUAUUAAUGAUGAUAAUAUUUAAUUAUUCACUUUUGGUUUUAUAUAACAUUUUAAAUUUUAUCAUUGUCAUGUGAAAAUUUUUUAAACAUACUAAAAGUUCAUAAAAAAGUCUUUCUUUUACAAUUUUUUAUUCUGAAUUUCAGAUGCAAAUUUUGUUACUACAUUUUUACCAUGUAAUUUCAAAUUUAAAACUCGUUACCAUAUAUUUUAAAUGGUUGGUUAUCUUUUAUCUUCUAAAGUUUAAAGAAAUUAUAAUUUUCAUAUUUUAAUAAUAUACUUAUGUUAUUGAAAUUAUUUUUAAAUCAUCAUUUAAAUUUACAUAAUUGGAUUUGAAUGAAACAUUAUUUGUAAUGAUUAAUUAUUUAGUUUAUUAAUAAUGUCAUUAUUCAAUUAUUUAUUUAUUAUUUUACAUCAUUAUUUAAUUAUUAUUAUUAUUAUAUCAAUAUUAUAAUGUUAUUGUAGUUUUAUAUUAUUAUAGAAUUUUAUUAUGUGAUAUAAUACAUUAUUAUUUUUUUUUUAAAUUAUUAAAUUUGUGGAAUUUUUCUUUUUUCAAAUUUUGUUCCCAACUUAAAUACAAACUCUUCUUAUUAUAGGUUAGGAAACAAAAUAAUAUAAUCAUUUCAUCCUACAAUCAUUUCAUUUUAGACUUCCAAUUUCCUAAAAUAUCCCUAAUCAAUAAUAAGAUAAUUAUUUGUUAAUUUUUUGUUUAUUGAAAAUUUCUGUGUACAUUGAUUACACUUCCCUUUUUCUCUUAUCAGAAAACAUACAUUCUUGCACCCCUCUACCUCCUCCACCUCAUUUCAUUUUUAUUAAUAAAUCCUACCCACAUGAUUUGCACGUCUCAAAAUCAUUUUAUUUGAAAUAAAAUUUAAUUGUUUGUAAUAUUUAUAUCAUUAAGAAAUUGUCAUAUUUCAUAAAAACUUUAACAACAUUUUUUCAAAUUAUAAAGCAUUCCGAUCCCAUAUCAAACCUACCAUACAAUCUCACAUCUACUAACAUUACAACAAAACAUAGCAUUUUCAUUUGCAAUAAUAUAUCAGAAAACACUAAUUGAUCCUGCAUAGAAAAGAACCAGCCACUUCCCAAGGGAUGGGCAAACUGCCCUAUAAUGUACUGCACUAUAAAAGUUUAUAGUUAAAUAUAAACUACUUCAAAAAAACUGUACUGCACUAAAAAAUAGUUCAGAUUGAACUGCACUAAAAACCCUAAUACAAUAUCACAUCAAUUCGUCUCCUCAACCAGUGACUUUAAAUAUCUCUUCCCAAUGCCCAUUUGUUGACAUCCCAUUCAUCUUAAAUGAAUUUCACUAAUAUAAAAAUCUAGUAAUCAGACUUCAGAACAGGAAAAAAAAGUCACCAAACUUCCAAAAUCAAAAAAUCAAUUUCUUUAGAAAGAACAUUAACAAAGUAAAUGAAAGACACAAUAAUUAAAAUCAUAGCAGAAGUAAUAAAACAAAUCUAACACGCUGAAUAACAUCACUUCUUUACAAACUCAAGAUCUCAUCCUAAAUCAUUUAAGGUAAAAAGGCUAAUUAAUUAAUAAUCAAGUCCAGAUAACAAUCUUAGUGGGGCCAGGUCCGGCAUAUUAUCAGAACAAAAUAGCCUUAAAGAUCAUUCUAUUUUUCCUGGUACAUUCCUUCCAAAGAUAGUCUUAAAGUAAACCACUAGUUCUCCUGAGAUUGAUUACCACAACGGGUACAUGUAUAGAAAGUAGUUUGCCCUUCAUCUGCUGAUCUCAUCUGAAAAAAGAAUGAUUGAAAUAAAUAAUUAUGGACUUUAAAUAAGAUUAAGAUCAAAUUGCCAAAUAUACAUUAUAAAGUCUAACGAUACCUGUCUGGUAUAAAAGUUAGCUUCAUCAUGGCCACAUUUUUCACAUUUUUUGUUGACCUGUCAAGAAAUAAUACGUUUUUUUAGAGAAGAAACAAUAACAUUUGAAACAUUCAAAUAUCUUCUUAAAAACCAAGCUAUAUUUAAUAUUGAAUGAUGCCAUUACCUUCGACAAUUGCACCUUCUGUUCCUCGAUUAUUUCCAUUCCAAGCUCUCUUCUGAUCUCCUGCAAAACACAAGGUUACUUUUAUUUAAAGAAGAAUUGCCAAUAGUGUACAUAAAGUGAAUAUGUCCAUGGUCAUGAUAAAUCACAAAUUUGGCUUAUUUCAGUUAUAUGAGACUCAAGCUUCAGCUAAGCUGCUGCAAUUCUUGGUAGGAAAUUUAAAACCUAAAAAGUUAGCAAUCCUGACUAACUGUGCCAGAAUUUUCACAAUAACAUUUCACCUCAACUUUCUAUCAUUGCUGCAUUGAUCUUAAAAAUCUAAACCCAGGUCCAAUUUCACUAUGGCUACACUAAUCAAAUUCAAGUAACAUGAGAACUAAUCGUGUAUACAUAAACUUGAAUGUUCUUCUGUUACUUUAAUGCAAUACUACCAAUUGAUCUGUUAAAUUAUUGGCAUGACAACAACAUAGCCAAUACCAUUAGUGAUAUCAAAAGGUAUAGUGAUGUCUAACAUUAGUUUUAAACGAAAGAAAAAAAGAAACUCCAAUACCAUCAUGGUCUUUUCACCAAUUCCCACCAGGACAGAUAAAAUCAAGGUAGGCCUAAGAGGGUACACAAAAACAACUGCUUCUAAGGAUAUAAUCACUUAUUUUCCAAACACUCUCUUAGAAAGUUCGCAAAAACAGAUUAUUAUUUCUUCACAAUGAGCCCAUGCAAACACACAAUAAGAUGGUUAUUUAAUUACACAUACGACAAAAAAAAAAAGGUACAGAAAGUGUCAUGAAUUCGUGAGUCAUGUGUGAAGUCACGGAGGAAGAAGACAUGUUCAUUUUUCUUUUAAAAGAAGUGCAUGAAGCACCAUAAGUAAGUCCAUGAACACUGGCAUGUAAACUAUAAUAAUAAUAAUUCACAGUCAUGGGAGAUAACAGAAAUAAAAACAUACCUCAGCAGUAAUUGUGUAACUUAUUUCCUUAUCACGAAUAUCUGAACACAACCAUAGUCAAUUGGAGAGAGUUAUACAUAAUAUACAACUAAGAAAAUUCGAGAACACGUUACCACAGUAAAAAUAGGGCUUAACCUUGUAUGUCUUGGAGAGUUUUGCACAAAGAACAUUGGGCGUACUCACUGGAAGGAACAAUUAGCAUUGUCCCACACAAAUGGCAAAAGAAAUCGAGUCUAGAGUAAUAAUACGCCAUCGAUUUUGGAGGUGAAAUACACAGUUUUGUGUGUAGCGCAGAGAAUACAGAGGACGAAGCUGCAAAAACCCUAACGUAUACUGACGAAACGAGGAUGAAACACUUUUUUACAAUUUCUAACAUUCACGUCACUACAUUAAUUAAGAGUUCAAUCAAACAAAAGACAAAUUUAUCUAAAUGAUGAUGAUGAUAUAGGGUCUGAAAACAAAUUCAGAGUUUAUAUUUCAUACCCCUAAGCCCAAAACAUCCAAUCCAGUUAAAUCAGAUUAAUAUUUCAAAUCAUACAUACCCCUGUUUACUCUAUGACCAUAUAUCAUUUACCUAGUUUUAAGCAAUUUUCAAUUCUCAUCUACUUUAUUUAAAUCAUAAUUAACACUGCAGCAAACUAGUUUCACCCAUCACAUUACACCACAUGGAUUCAGACACAUAAGCUCUCAUUCAAUUAAAACCAGUUUCUGAUAAACAACUCAUAUACAUUCAUUCUUUAAAAGCUACGUAAGGUAUUCUAGUAACACUUAACAUCAGUUUGAAUAUCAAUUAUUCAGUUCCCUUAUACCUAAUGUUGACCAUAAUCUGAACAUAAUUUUACAUAAUGAAUUAACCUAACACACAAUCAGACCUCAUUACCCCCUCUAACUUGUUAUUUUUAAUUUCAGAAUUUUUACACAUAUACAUUCCACUUAUGUGCAUCAACGCCAUUGCCAUAUAUUCAAAACAAAGUGGACUUGUCAUAUUUAAUAUUGUCUACCACUUUUAGCCAUAUCUUCAGAAUUGUAAAAUCCUCAGUAUAAAAAUUCAUUCUUACCAACACAACUCAUAUUUCUAAUACUUCAUAAUUAAGCAGUCAUUCAGUUGUAUCCCCUAAUUCAGCAUUAUACUGCAGUUUAUUCAUUAAUCAUAGAAUACAAUGUCCCAUUUCAUAUAUUGAGAACACUCAACUACAGAAACCUUACUCCACUCACCCACAUUCAUCAGAAAUAAUACAAUCAUACACAAAUUCAAUCACACAGAAUACCAUUACCGUUUUCCAGCAACAUAAACAUCAACCACAAGCACUCGAAUAACACGCCGAAAACAAAAAAAUCUAUGUGAAUCGGAUAUGGGGAACCGUUUCACACAGAUGUGCCAACCACAUUCAACCAAACAGCGACCAACCUGCAGUGAGCGAAAACUGGGUGCGUGUUUGUGUAUACUGGCGGCGCUAGUGCUCGAGCCUUGAAUGAAGCUCCCUCGAGACAGAAUGCACCACCUUUGCGAAGCUGUGGCUGCGGUGCGAAAUCUCGCUCCUGUGUGUGACGAUGGAAAGAGGAGGACGAAAGCAAAGGGAGAGGGAAAAGCGGCUAUGUGCCUCUGUGUGUGCUGGACAGAGGAAGAGGAAAGCACGAGCGGGGUGCUCUAUGUGUGGAAUAAUUGAGAGACCAAAAAAAGCCAAAAAAAAAAAUUGAGAUGAGGGCACUGUAAUUACCCAAAUAAUAUUAAGUGCUAACGUUGAGUUUCCCUUCGUGUUGCAAUUUUGAAAAGUUCACUGGGCUUAACUGGGCCAAUAGAUUCGGGCUUUCGUCCUGCAGCAUAAAUGGGUGUUGCUCCCUACACCUCUUCAAAAGAAACCUAUACCUUUCCACUAUUUAAAUCUCCCAACAAACUGUAUUUAGCAUAAAGUUAUUUACUGCGUUAUUUUAUCUAAAAAAUUAACCCAUCAAAAAGUCAUUUCUAUUGUAUAUAUUUUUGUAUAUACUUUUCAAAAACAUAAAUAAAAUAUAAGAAAACUUUAUUUUCACCACAUUAAAUUGUUAUAUAAAAUUUAUCAACAUAUUUCUGUUGAAAAAUUGAAUAGUUGAGAGGUUUAAAUUGCAAAUAAGGGGUGAGAACAGCAAUGCGCCCCGUGUAUGUUGCUUUCGGGAUCUCUCGGCCUACCUCGGUUAAAUUUUUUUUUUUAUUAAACACCAAUUUUGUUUAAAAUUAUUUGUAUUCAAAAGUAAAAACUGAUUAAUUGAUUUAAAAGAAAAAAUAAUAAUAUAAAAGUGGAUUAAAAAGCAAAUGAAAGAGAAACAUUUUUGCCUUGAAUAAUGUUUAGAAAAGGGUUUAAUAUGUGAGUAUUUUUGUACCAUAAGUACUUGAAUGAGAUGAAGAUGAUAUGAAAUAAAAAAGUAAUGAUAUUUUGGAGCAAUGAAUGAUUAGAUAGUGUGUGUGCUACAAAUAAAUUGGGUUGCAUGUGGAUAUUUAGGCAACCCACAUGCAAGAACAUGAGUACUAUCUUCCUCUUUUUCCUUUUUCCUUUUUCCUUUUUCCUUAGACAAUGCUUACACCACAUUCAAUGCGCCACCAAUAAUCUUAUACUUUAAACAUUCAAAUUUAUACAACCAUGGUUACAAUAACUGCUUUCAAAAUUACUACAUCAAACCUGUUCUGAUGUGAACAUGCUCUAAUUCCUGGAGACAAUUGCGUCCACUGUGUUUUAUACGAUCAGUUGCAUGUGCAUUGCACAUGUCUUUUCUAAUUAUUGCUUCUCAUGUUCAUCUUCAUUCAUGGAUUGGAAAUCACGUAUAAAAGUCAAGUUCGAACCUCUUCUACAUAUAUUUUGCUCUUCGUGUCCCACAACUUUUGCUCUAACACUCAUCUCACAAACUCUCCAUUUAUAGCUCAUCUCUUUCACCUUCUACGCGUAACAAUUUUCCAAACUUUUCUUUUAUUUUUAUAUUUCUAUUGCAGUUUUUUUAACAAACUUUUAUGUUUCAGAUAAAUCCACAAUGUACCAUGUCUAGACAUGGGAACAACGUUUGAAGAUGAUAUAUUCAUAUGAAUCUUUUAUUUUAUGUCUUCGUAUGACCAAUUGGAUAAACCGACAAUAACUUUCAGUUAGGCCAUUGAGAUUCAAACGAAUCAGGCACCAAGCUAGGAGAUGAUAAACCCAAAUGAUAAAGAUAUAUGUUAUUAUUAAUGAAAUCUUAAAGACUAAUUUAUAAUAUAUAAAUAGAAAUAAACGUUAUUUUAUCAACUAAUUUUAUGAAAUUAAAUUAGAUUUAAAGUCUAAAUAAAAUAAAAGUGAAAAACUAAUUCCAUGUCUUAUUCUCAUGGUAGUCAAAUAACAUAAACUAAAUGAUUAUUACUAGGUUUAAAAAAUACUAUUGAUAUGUUUCUAUGAGUUAAUUUGACUCUAAUUAGUAUAAAUAUUGUGGUUUUAUCACUUAAUUUGACUCUAAUUAAUAGACUACUAUUGAAAUGGUUCCAUUCCGGAUGAACUCUCCAUCGAAACUCGACCAAAUACUAAGUAAAAUUUUAAAAUUACCAUAGUACUUCUUCUUGCAAAUAAGAUAUGUAUAUGAAACGUUUAAUUAAGUAAAGUCUUGUUUAAACCUACUUUGUUAUAAAAUACGAGUUUGGUUAUUGUUAAUUUGAUUAACAGUUUUGGUGUUUAGACAUGACCUUAAGCAUUUCAGCCAUGACUCAAUUCUUUAUGUUUAACGAUUUUUUAAAUUGUAAAAAUUAUAUCAUAGUUCAUUAAAACAGUUGUACAAACAAUGAAUAAAAGCUUUACAAUUCACGUAAAGACAAUAAAAUAAUAAUUGGUAUGUGUAAUAAUGUGAUACAUGUACUUUGUUUGAAUAGUAAAAUGAUAAUGUGGACUACAGUACUGAUGUACAAUACAGAAUAUUUAAACACAAGUUAAUAUAAUAAAAAUAUCAGGAUGUUUAGCUUGAUUGAAAUUAUUUUCUGUUGUAGUUAUAGGGAAAAAAUUAUGCAAUACAAUUAUAAGGAUCUGUGUUUAUACAAAUUGAGAAAAGUCGGUUUUGUAUUUAAUGUUUUUAAAAUAAGUAAAAUUGUAAAAUAAAGAAUAAUUUAGAAGAUUAAUGAAUGUGUUCAAGUUCAUUUUUCUUAUAAAGUUUUAUCUAUCCGAAAAAGAAAAAGAAAAAACAUGAUAUCAGGGGAUGUAAAUUAUUAUCAUAUUUUCUUUUUAUGCUUGUGUCUGAUAUAAUUUUUUAAGUUAAUAUUUACGUGUAUAAUCCUUCGAAAAGUUGGUAUAUAUGGUGUUAUUAUUAUCAUAAAGCACAAUGGAAAUAUCUAUUACGUGUAUCGAUUGAAUUGUAAAUAACUGCAGAUAUAAAAAAAAAAAAAUUACUCAUAGUUCUUUUAAGUUAUUAUGUUUAAUUUUAGUUCAACUUUAAUUUUUCGAGUCAUAAUUGUUAAUAAUAUAAGAUAGAAAUAGUAAUGUUUAAAUUAAAAAUUAUGAUUAUAAAAGUAAACGAAGGUUUUCCAUGCAAAUUUAAAUUAUUUUACUUAAAAAAGAGAGUAAAUGAUUGAUAAGUCAAAUGACGGUGAACCGAGAAAUGAAAAAAGGUACACAUAAAAGAGAAAUAAAUUACAUAAUCUUUAAAUUACUAUUUUAAAUGGACUAUUUAUCAUUGUUAAUCUUUUCUUAAAAUUCUUAAAUUUUAGGGAAGUCAUUUUUUAAUAUAUUUUUCAUAUGAUACAUUCUUACUUAUACUGAAUAAGAUUAUUAUAAAAGACAGAUUUUUAGUAAUAUAUGUAUAUAGCAUUUUAAUAUAACUUAUCUGAAAAUAAAAAAUGGAGCAUUCAUAUAUUAGUUUUAGUAAUUUAUACAAAAAAAAUUAUAAAAAAUGCGCAAGAAAAAAGUGUAUUGUUUUCAUUUGUGAUAAAAUUACAUAUAUGUCCAGCUUAGUAGAGACGAGUGAAACAGAUGAUAGGAAUAAAACUACCGACUGAAAAUAAAUAAAAAUAAAAUAGAUAUUUGACUAAAAAACAAUUGAGAAGAAAAAAAUAUAGAGACACGAAAAUAAGUAAAAAAAAAAAAAUAGCGUAAUAAGUGCAUUGAGCGCAUAAUAGUGAAUUCGGCGCAGCUGGUGUCACGUGGUGGCACAUGCAAAACUGACAGACUGGGAAAGAGCAGAUUUCAUUUAUUGAGAAAGAGAAUGAUUUGAUUUUGUUUUUCCAGAAAAAAUAAAAUUAAAUAAAAUAAAUAAAAGGAAAAUGAAUUUGAAAGACUUGAUGAGCUUGACUUUCUGUAUCUAUGUGGGCCCAUUUGUCCAUUCCACUUUCAAAGUUUUUCCAUUCUCACCGUUCCCUCAAUCAAUGCUCCUUCUCUCUUACAUCAACAUUUUCCAUUUUAUUUAUAAACAAAUUCUCAACUACUUUUUCAAUAUCACAAAGAUACCACGUCAACAUUUUUAUUGAAUAUUAAUUUUAAAUUACUAAAUAGACAAAUGUAUAUAAUUAAAUUAGUAAUUAAUUUAAUUUAUAAAUAAUAGAAAAGGAGAGUCAGGAAAUUAUAAGAGAACAGAAAUUACAUUCAAACUAAACAUUUUAUUCUCAUAACCUAAAGUAGUAAAGUUAAGGGGACACGGACUUCAACCAAAACUGAAAAGAAAAAUAUCACCGGGACAAAAAAACAAAAUAAAAAAAAAAUUGCAAAUUCCGCAGAGUUUCUGUUAUUUCUAAUAAAAGGAUUUAUAUAUUUCUUAAAAUAUAAACUUAUACCCUUAAAUACAAACCAAUCACAAAAGAUAAUUUGGCUUAUAUAGUUCGUCCAGUAAACUAUUUUAUUAAGAUAAAUACAAGAAAAAUAAAAGAAUUCCACAAAAUCACAAAAUAUCAUAGCAACACUAAAAAAUAUUAUAACUUUUCUCUUCCAACAUUUACAUAUAGAAGACCUAGAAGAAAGAUAUAAAAGAGAAAUUUCUCAGCUUUAGUAAUCUUCAUCAAGUCUUUUAUAUAUAUAUAUAUAUAUAUAUAUAUCAAAACAAUUGUUAUCUUCAUUAAUAACCUAAAUUGGGUUUACAAUCUUGUAUUCAUGUUUAGACUUUUUAGUUAACAAAUAAGUGAUUACUAAGAAAAGACUUUCUUCUAAUAAAAUGUUAACUAGAAUGUCUAGAUUAAAAAAUAUCCAAUUUUUAUUAAGAAUGACGGCAUAAAGAAUAUUUGAAAUUUUGUUAAGAUUUAAGUAAUACUUGUCUUCUAUCUUAUAAUUUUAGUGAUAAUCUUAUUUUUUACCUUUUAUUGAUAUUAAAUUUUGUAAAUAAAAUCAAUUUCUUCAUAUUUUUUAUAUUCUUUAAUUUUUAAGUUUAUUUUGUUUUUUAUUCUUAUUUUAUUUUAGUUAUUUUAAGUUUUUUUUUUCUAAUUUCUAUUCUGAAAUAAGUUAAUAAAUGAAAAACUGAUUGAAACUCAAAAAAUAUAUGAUUGGAUAAGGUAUAAUAUUUUUUUUGACAAAAAUCCCACAUAGAAGGCAUUAGAACCACAUCCAACGCCAUGAAGAAAGUGUACUAAAAAUGCUGACAAAAACUUAAAUCACAAAUUUUUUUAAGGCGUAUAGAUCAUUGUCUUUAAGGAUUUACCUGCGGUAUAUUGCGCAAGCCCCCAAGAUACAACAGGAAUUUGACAAAAUAUUUCUGAAAAUCUUAGAACUAGCAAGGAUCUCUAAAAAGAGUAUAAAAUAAACCCAGAAUAAUUUUAGAAGAGGAAAAAACAAGAAAGAGAGAAAACUGCUUUUGGUGUGUUUUGGAACCGAAGAAAAACUCUUUAUUUAUAGAGUUAGGAAAGAAUAAAAAAAAAAUAAUAAUAAUCAAUGAUUUUAAUGUUGCAAAUUUAUUUGACAUUGCAAAAUUUAGCAUAUUACCUUUGAGCAAUGUCUCUUUUGCAAUAAUCUAACAUUAUUACAACAAUAAGGACUCACAUGUAAAGCUAUAGUGCCAUGGAACGCUCUUGGAAGACCAAAAAAGCAUCAUUGGCCGCUAAGUUAAGUCGUUGGGCAAGCUAGCUACUCGUUAGGCGAAAAUGGCAGCCCAAACUUUCAGUACUGGAAUCAUUUAGAAAAUAAUAUGGUACACCCAACAAGUUACAAGUUAGAGAGUGUCGAUUUUUAGGUCUCGUUGGUCAAGAAUGAAAUCGUUGGGAGAUUCUGUUGGCCUUGAUACGCGAAAGUGAGUAUUUAAUCAUGUUUUCACAAGAGUUUUGGGCAUUCCUUAUUUUUACAUGAAUAAAAUCACCUAAGAUGAUUGUGAGAAACUCUUUGAGGUUGUUUGGAGUACUGAGAAACUCUUCCUCUCAUCCUUUAGUUUCUUCCUUCACCCAUGGUGUUUUUUUCCCUUUUGGGGUUGGAGAGGAAGAUUAUUACAUAUUUAGAAAUGCAAAGGAGAUGUGUGAUUGAACCUUGGAGUAGCUACUAGGUGCCUUAGGAAAAAGUCUUCAUCUACUUUAUGAUUUCAAUUUUUUCUCUAUCUUUUGUCUUCAUCUACUUUAUGAUUUCAAUUUUUUCUUUAUCUUUUCAAAUUGUAAACCUUGGGUUCUCCACCAUGGAGAGAUAUUUCUAUUUGUUGAUAUAAAACAUAUUAUUGCGUAAAAUUGUGUUGUUGACAUGUACAUACGUUUUCAAUUCAAGAUAAUAUUUAAUUUCUAUGCUUAAUGCUUGAUGUGGAUUGUUAUGAGUCUUGAGGUGUUGAGAAAUAUCUUUAGAAUUUGGACUUGAAAUUUAAUGGUUAAUGGAUGUUCGUAUCUAGGAAUAAAACUUGGUUUAUUUGAAAUUAAUGUAUGAUUUUAUACUUGACAAGUGAUCAUAUGUUCAAUACACUAAAAAUAGAAUUUAAAUAUAUUGAUGAGUUGAUUUUGAUUUGAAUAUGAAAUUAAGACAUUUUUAAAUACAUGAAAGUAGACUAGAUAAAAUCUAAUCUUAAUAUUUGCAAAAUAGUUUAUUUUAAAUUUUUUGUUACAUACAAAUUGAAUUUUCAUUAUAUUUUUAUGAACUUUGUUAUAUAAUUAAAAUAUUUAGUGUAAAAGUUAUUGAAUGUAUGAAUAAAUUUUUUGAAAAAUAAUGAUAUUUAUCAGCGACCAGUAAUCUAAAUUUUUAAACCUAUUAAUAUAAAACUAACGAGAGUUUUACUAAAAAUAAGUUUGAAAAGUGUAUAUAAUUACGUGUGCUAAUCUUUAUCAGAAACUAUACUGUUACGUAAACUUCUUAACAAUGUGGUAACUGAAAGUUUUAUUUGACUACCUUUAUCAAAUGUUGAUAUGUGUAAAUUUUCCAAAGCUUUAUAUACAUAAUUUAACCCUUUUUUAUUGUGCAUUUCACUUGUUUUGACAUACUUAUAUUUGGUUCUUAGUUUCUUAACUUUUCUUCUUUUGUUGUUUAAUUGUUCAAUUUAUUCCAAAUUCAUAAAGAUUAAUCUAAUCUCAUACUUUUUUUUCUUAUCUUAACCUUCGUUAAAUUUUAUUUGAAAAAUAUUUCUUUUAAUAAAAAAAUUUAUUUUCUUUUGGUUGUCUUCCUUAAAUUUACUCAUAUCUCGGAUGUACUUUUCUUCUUAUUAUAAUAUUAAUUAUAUAUUGAAAUGGUAUAUUACAUUUCAAGAAAUACACUUUUAAAUUUUAUUGAAUAAAAUAAUUUCUACAAAAGAUAUUUACUCAUUUUUAUUCAAUUUUUAUUUAUUAAUCUAAAUUGAUAUUCAUGUAGUUAUAAUUUUUAUAUUUAACAUUAAAAAGAGUAUCUUUUUAACGUUGAUUUUUUUAUAAUAUUGUGUUUACUUUGUAAUUUUUAUUUUUUAUAAAAGUUUAGUUAAUUAAUUUUUAAAAUUAUAUAAAAGAGUAUGAGAAUACUUAUUAUUUGAUGGAAGAUGAGGAUGGCAAAAAUUUAUAACUAUUAAUAUAAGAAGAAUGAUGAGGAUAAAAUUUUGCUAUAAGGAUAAAGACAAUGAGAUCAAAAGUAUCAUGUGAAAACAUUGUGUUAGAGGUGGAAGAAGUAAUGUCCUAACAAGAUCAAGAGGAUAAAGAGAUUAUACAUAAAAAUAAAUAAGAGACACAAAAAUAACAAUAAUUUUAAAUUCUUAACUUUUUUUUUAUAUGAAAUUUAAAAUUUUAUUUUUAGAUUAUUGAAUUCCUCUCAUAAAUUUUAAAAUAUGUUUUUUUUUUCUAAGUGUUUCUUAUUAAUACAAUUUAUUUACUUCAAAACAUUUUAAGUUCUGCAUAAAAGUAAAUUAUCAUCUAAAAAUUCACACUAGGUAUUAUUUUGUUUAUUUUUUUUUCCUAUUCAUCCAUACGAAUUAUGGAGCGUGCAUGUCUUUUAAGAGUGUUAGUUUUUAGGAGCAGCAAACAUGCGGCUAUGUUCCAAGUUGCUUAGCAUUUCCUAAUUAAAAUAAUGUAUUUCGUAGACCGUACGAUCCGAUCUAAUGUAAUUUGCAUCACCGUCAUGAUAUUUGUGCUGACACACGUGUCAGACGUUGGUUCUCCAAAUUGAGGACAACUUUCUACUUCUAAAUGCACCCAAUAAAUGUUGCAUCAAUCCCUACCCUUGAAUGCUUCUAUAAAUACCCCACCAUCAUUUGCUUUCGGAUCCCAGCAUCUCCUCAAACAUCCCUCUUGUUUCUUGGUCUUGAUUCGUGAUUCAGAAAGAAGGUUCUGCCAAAUCAAGAGGGGUAUUCUGAUCAUAGUGUGUGUGUGCAACAAUGGCUAUGGCUAAGUUCCUUGCAGCUAUGAUCUUGGCACUCAUUGCCAUUUCCAUGCUUCAAACCGUGGUUGGUCUUUAACAAUGUCUAAGAACCAGACACAUUUAAUGUUUUUCAUGUUUUGGUACCACUAGCGUACUAGUGUUGAGAGAUUGAAGGCUUCUUACACUUUUAAUGGCUUUAUUUUUCAGGUUAUGGCUGCAAAUGGGCAUGGAGACCACCUGAAUGAUAACAAGGUAUGCUGCAUCUCUUUCUCUCUGGUUUUGUGAAGAAUGAAAAAUGGGGUCUAGGGAUUUUGCUUUCUAAGGGGUGAAUCAGUGCUGAUUUAUGCUGUUUGUUUCUGCAGAGCAAAUAUGGAAGUGGGAGUCUCAAGAGUUACCGUAAGUAAACUUCAUUUCUUCAACUUGUCUUUUUAUGGCAUCAAGCAAUGUAUAUAUGUCAACAGAUUUCUCCAACUCCAAACUUUGCAUAUAAAAAAUGGUGGCGACACUGAGAAUGGAAGAAGGAAAAUUUUUAAGAACAUUCCCAAAAAGCUCUCAGUGCAGAUCUUGGAUUGUUAUUUUCCUAUUAUUUUUUUCAUUUAAGCCAAAUUAUGCUCACAUGAUUCUCUACCUCUCUUUUCAAUGCUCUUAACUAACCAAACCGACAUAUAAUAUUAUUUGUACUUUUUUUAUAAAUUAAAAAAAAAAAAAGUUCUACAAUUUUAUUAUUGUUACAUCUCUCUUCACUGUCAAUUUUAGUUUGACUGUGGUCAAUUUUUUUCCAAUAAAAGCUGCAUUUUUUUAGUGUUUUGACUGAUGUGUGAAAAGAGAGGAGUCAAAGAGCUAUUGAUUACUGGAUUGACCAUACCGGUUGCCUCUUUUGUUUCUUACCAAUGCUCAAUAUGUCUCUUUUGGGAAUAUGAAAUGACCAGAAUGCCCAUCACAAUGCUCGAGGAGAUGCAACAAGACCCAAUACCACAAGCCCUGCAUGUUUUUCUGUCAGAAGUGCUGCAGGAAGUGCCUGUGUGUUCCUCCGGGUUAUUAUGGUAAUAAGGCUGUGUGCCCUUGCUACAACAACUGGAAGACCAAGGAGGGAGGACCCAAGUGCCCUUGAGCUUCAACCUCAUCAACAUCAAAUGUUGCUUUCUUAUAUAUUUAUCACUUCCUUCAUUGUUCCAUUUAAGGCACUAGCUUACUUCCCUACUAUUCACAUGUCCUAACUAAAUGAUAUAGCCCCUUGUGGUGGCACUAUGAUGUAUGUUUUCUUAUGAAUUUUGGGAUGUCCUCCCUCUAAGGACCACAUCCGUAGUAUCACUCCUUAGGACUUGCUUUCCUUUCAUGUGAGUGGCUUACUUAUAUCAAUACAUCAUCUGUGGAACUUAUUUCUAGUUUAAUGUCUUAUAAUUUUGGAAUCAAUGGGGGCUUCGGUGAUGCAUUGAAUCAUUGAAUAGAUAAUUGGGUUACUUCAUUCUUAUUACAAAGAGCAAUCUUUUUUCCCUGUCAGAGUAGUGUAGUUUCUUCUUUACAAGGUCCCUAUUUAUUACCAGAUAGGUGUGCAUGUGAUAAGGCAAAAGUGAUGCUCUUGCUC
RNAcentral lists this long non-coding RNA (46042 nucleotides) under Vigna radiata. Its description in RNAcentral is "long non-coding RNA (VRAD_LNC003181)". Lineage: Eukaryota; Viridiplantae; Streptophyta; Magnoliopsida; Fabales; Fabaceae. The record is from RNAcentral.